UCGCACAUAUUAUUGAGACCAACUAGCAACAUAGAAAGCACAAUAUUGUACCAAUAAUGGCAGCCAAAAUAUUUUGCCUCAUUAUGCUCCUUGGUCUUUCUGCAAGUGCUGCUACGGCGAGCAUUUUCCCGCAAUGCUCACAAGCUCCUAUAGCUUCCCUUCUUCCCCCAUACCUCUCACCAGCGAUGUCUUCAGUAUGUGAAAAUCCAAUUCUUCUACCCUACAGGAUCCAACAGGCAAUCGCAGCAGGCAUCUUACCUUUAUCACCCUUGUUCCUCCAACAAUCAUCAGCCCUAUUACAGCAGUUACCUUUGGUGCAUUUAUUGGCACAAAACAUCAGGGCACAACAACUACAACAACUCGUGCUAGCAAACCUUGCUGCCUACUCUCAGCAACAGCAGUUACCUUUGGUGCAUUUGUUGGCACAAAACAUCAGGGCACAACAACUACAACAACUCGUGCUAGCAAACCUUGCUGCCUACUCUCAGCAACAACAGUUUCUGCCAUUCAACCAACUAGCUGCAUUGAACUCUGCUGCUUAUUUGCAGCAACAACAACUACUACCAUUCAGCCAGCUAGCUGCUGCCUACCCCCGGCAAUUUCUUCCAUUCAACCAACUGGCAGCAUUGAACUCUCAUGCUUAUGUACAACAACAACAACUACUACCAUUCAGCCAGCUAGCUGCUGUGAGCCCUGCUGCCUUCUUGACACAGCAACAUUUGUUGCCGUUCUACCUGCACACUGCGCCUAACGUUGGCACCCUCUUACAACUGCAACAAUUGCUGCCAUUCGACCAACUUGCUUUGACAAACCCAGCAGUGUUCUACCAACAACCCAUCAUUGGUGGUGCCCUCUUUUAGAUUGCUUAUGAGUUAUAGUUCAAUAAUAAAGUUUUUUUUGCUGAUAUUUGUGGCUUCCCAGAAAUAAGAAAGUACAUUUCUAGAUUCUUAUGUGCUUCUAGUCUCCAAAUGUGGUUGAUAGUUAUUUUGCUCUAAGAUCGGCAGUAAUGAGGUAUAAAUACUUGUUGUCGUGUGCUACUCGGUUAAUUGAGCAUUAACACACAUAAACAUUACAAGGAUGGUAUAAUCUCCUAAAAUGUGUACAUUGUUAGGUGUAACCCUAUAGCCAUGCAGAAUGUGCUAUGUUAGGCAUGCCGAUGGAAACGUGUGACACAUACGUUUUGUUAACCUAUUGAUAUUAUAUGUGCCUUUUAUAUUACCAUAUUUUAUUAAAAUACUAAUAUUUAUUACUAGUAAGAUAUAACAUUCUAUCUAGCUUAAAAACUAACCAUAAAUAUUCCAUCAUAACUAGAUUUACCAAACUAAUAUACUAAAUAUACAUAAUAAAUACAAAAUUAACAAUACAAUAUCAAUAUUUAUGAGCUUAAUAAAUUUAAACAUUAUGGUUGGCCGACGAUAAUCAUACUGACUUUCCGUAAUUGCUUGAUUGUAAAUAUACUUAGACUAAUGCCUCUUUGUUCUACAUGGCAAAUAGGGACCACUCUAGGAGACUAGGAUGUUGCUUGAGACGAAGAUGUUAUCAUUGGUGUAGACUAAUUUCUAUCAGCCGCUGACUUCACUAUUGUAACCAUUAUCUCUUGGGUAAAUCAUAUACGAUUAUCUAGCCAAAGGCCCAGAUGAUAAAAACAAUUUUUAAUUGCUAUUUCAGGACAAAUGAAUUAGCAUGGUUCGAAGGAUUGCGACCUUCCCCCCAUGACUUUUAUCGUAUUGUGUUAGUCUAAUCGACAAAACCAAGAUUAGAUAUCAUCGAAGAAGUUGAUAAGCGAAUCUGUGACCACUAUCAGAAUCAGCUGCUUUGCCGAGUGUCUAAAACACUCGACAAAGCCUGAAAAACACUCGGCAAAGGAUUUGCCGAGUGUAACACUCAGCAAAGAAAGCUCGGCGAAGUAUACAUCGGCAACGACUUCUUUGCCGAGUACUUUUUAUCGGGCACUUGGCAAAGAAGCGUCAUUGUCACGACGAUAGGUAAUGCCGACGGAGUCUGUGACGAGUGUCACAGAGUGACGCUCAGCAAAGGCUCACUCUUUGCUGAGUGACCACUGUACAGACACUCGGCAAAGAAGCCCCCGUGGGUCCCUUUAUCAGGGCCUUUGCCGAGCGUAUUAGGUGGCACUCGGCAAAGGCUCCAUCUUUGGUGACUGCCCGCCAGACUAGCAAUCGACAAAGGGAUCAACAGCGGAUCCCUUUGUCAGUUCUUUUGUCGAGUGCUCUAGGAGGCACUCAAUAAAGCUUGUGUUGGGGGCCUUCUUCUUCCGAAGGUCCUCAAAAACGUGACUAACCAUAGGUUUUCAGUAUGACAUAGACUAUUAUAGGAAGCUUUGGCUUUGGGAUGAAGGCGUGUGAUAUGAGGAUACAGCCCAAAGGCAACAUGGAUGGACGUCGAAGCUAUGGCUAAAGGAGUUUCGGCUUGGCAUGUUAGCGAAGAUGAAGGACGAAACCGACCUAAGGGAGAAAAGACUAGUUAGUCCUUGAUAGUUUGCAUUAUGAUUAAGAGCAGAUAUCAGGGGCAUGCAUGUAAUCUUAUCCGGGCUGCGUCCCGUGCCUAUGAAUAGAUGAAUAGUAACACCGUACUGUUCACGCUGGAUUAUAAUCGCUCCUACGUCACUCUCGCGUCUUCACCUUUUGGUAAGCUGAAGGUAUCAAUGUAAUACAAAUAUUGAUGAUGUUUAUUCAUGUUUAUGAAAUGAGAAUAUAAAUAGCUUGCUGAUUCGUAAUCAUUAUUUAUAUUCUUUUGUAUUUCAUGUACCCUUAUUUAGAUGUGUUCACUGAGAUGAUGAAGGUAUGCCCUUCAUGACCUUCGUUCGGAAACCAUUAUAUCCAAAAGGAGAUAAUGCUUCGAAGGACGAAGGUCUCUAAUUAUUGACAAUCAUGUUGUCUUGUUCUUGAUGUAUAGCAUUUGGGAACAAGGACCAACAUUGGCGCCCACCUCCCGUGAACUCAAUCGACCACCUUCGGCAAGCAUCGACUUUCGUAAUGCCGCCGAAGAAGACAAUAGUGCCAGGGGCUGCCCUGCAGCCACUGGACACUAAUCAGGAAACGCUGCGAGAAGCUAGGAUCUAGAAGAGGAAGGCUACUAGCCCAACACCUCAGGAGGAGGAGCUAGAUCAGGAGAUCAGAGAUUUGGAGGCUAUCACCAGCAGGUACAAAGAAAAAGGGAAAAGAUGCUUCAGCUCGUCGAACUUCAGAGAAAGAUCGACAAAGCUGCUGAAGAAAUGCGUCACCUUACCCAGGAUGACCAAGACCGAAGGCCCCAACAUAGGGAGCUUCAUCAAGAAAGCCCAAUUAAUGACGAUGAGUGGUAUGGUGACUUUCAUCGUGGCAAUUUUGCUUUUGAUGAUGCUUCUCCCUUGGCAGCAGAAUUGCAGGCUACCCCGUGGCCGCCAUCAUACAAGCCACCUCAGCUCCCCAUGUAUGACGAGCACUCAGACCCGAAGCAACCAUAUCCUCAUAUGGGGGCAAUACUGCGGUCAUGGCAAAGUCCUUCGUCAUGGCAGUUAGAAGCGUGGCUCAAACAUGGUGCUCUUCUCUUCGGCCAGGGACAAUUACGUCGUGGCAAAAGCUAAAAUACAUACUGGUCACUAGCUUCUAGGGUUUCCAAUCGAAACCAGUUACUGUCCAAACUCUGUUCCAGUGCACACAGGACCAAGAAGAAUACCUCCAAGCGUAUGUCCGAAGGUUCCUGCGAUUGAGAGUUCAGGCGCCUACAGUGCCCAAUGAGAUUGUCAUUGAGGCCAUGAUCAAGGGGUUCAGACCAGGACCAACGGCGCAAUACUUUGCAAGGAAGCCACCACAAACCCUAGAGAAGCCGACGAUGAUUUUCGGCAAAGAAGGCAAGAAGCCUACAGAUACUCUGAGAUGGCCAGGGGCUUCGGAGGAAGAUUUCACCCUAGGCAUGUCAGGUCAAUCCAUAAUACCAGCUCAAGUGACGACAAGGGAAACCAUACCCAAAGGCAGCAACACAGCUCUCAGUCGUCAGGAGCACAACAAAGCUCUUUGAGGCCACCGGCUCCAAGAGGUAGAGGGGGGAGAAGCUUCGGAGGAAGAUAUGGAGAUCAGCCCAGUAAACAGUUUUGUUUGUUCUGCGGUGAAGAUAAGGGGCAUACCACAAGAACGUGCCAAGUUAUGAUUCAGAAGCAGAAAGAAAUUGCUGAAGCUGAAGCACGUUCGAAUCAGCCGAAGCAGGUUCUGCAUACUGCUUCGUGCUACUCUCCCUACGUCCCGGAGUAUGUAGACAAUCAACAGCCUACGACCUUGGUCGCUUCGGCAAGCCAUUCUCAAGCUUCCUGGGCCCAGUUGCCACCACCACCACCGCUAGCACAUGCUCUGGUCCGCAAUCAAUAGCCAGAAGGGCACCACCAUGCUUAGUAAUAGCGCGACCUUCGGGAGGAGUCCGAAGCUCGCACAGUCAACAACAUUGUGCCUAAGUCGAAGCACAUCUAUUAAAGGUGCCACGGUGAUUCAAUUAAAGAAUAUCUUACCCUAAUGUAUCUUAGUUUUUCCGCCAUUUUAUUUUCUUGCAUGAAAAACAAUUCACGAAGGAUUAAUUUCCAAUUUGAUGUAAUAAUACCGUGGUCGCACCAUCGAGUGUGGAGCGCAUCGCCUUAACAAUACUUCCGAAGCUACAAAGACGUUCCUAAGGGAGCGCGGAGUAAGUUCUGAAGCUACAAAGUUGUUCAUAAGGGAGCGCAGAGUAAGUUCCGAAGCUCAAAAGUCGUUCUUAAGUGAAUGCAGAGCCAAGAUGCCACCAAAAUAAAAGGUGAAGAAGCUCAAAAGUCAUUCCUAAGGGGAUGCAGAGCUUAAAUGCCACCGAAAUAGAAGGUGAAGAAGUUCCAAAGUCGUUCCUAAGGGGAUGCAGAGCUUAGCUCCAAAGAUGUUCCUAAGGGGAUGCAGAGCUGAAAUAUAACCUAAGUAAAAAGUGAAGAGACUCAAAAGUCGUUCCUAAGGGGAUGCAGAGUCUGGAUGCAUUUUCGAGUGGGUGUGUUUCUUCGGCAUAAACAUCAUGCUGUAUCAUAUCAUCACAUCAUUUCUCAUAGCAUUACAUCAUACAUCACAUCACAUCAGCAACAGAACUGUGGAGAAGCAAAGAUGCUUCUUUCAAAAUAUUUGAUGAAUGGAACAAUGGGCUGAAGCAGAAAGUGUACCUUCAACAGCUAUAAUUUUACAUACCAAGAAAAAUCUUCGUCGACAAACAAUAUUAUAUAACAGCUACGACAUAAGAAGGGGUGAUUUUUUAUUUGUGAAGCAUGAAAAGAAGGGAAGGUGUUUUUUCACCAAAGGCUAAAAAACAGGUAAGUACAUACAUUUCAUGCAUCACAAAGAAAUAUAUUACAUUAAUAUACAAACAAAUGUUCGAUGUUCGACUCAUACACGAAUAUUACAUUUCUUAGUACACAAGAAUUUAGUCUUCUUUCAAUAUUUUCUCGGUAGCUUCAUGUAGGAGUUUGUUGACAGCUUCAUCAACGGCUUCUUCGGCAAUCCUUAUCGUUUCUAAUGCCCCCCUCAUGGCCGGAUCGGCCUCGGGAUCAUAUGGCUCAGGCGGUGGUGAAAAAUCAGCUGUAAUAAAGAACAAGUUGUUAAUAUCAAAGCCAGAAACAAAUACUGAAGCUAAAAUUCAGUAAUAAUACCUAUACGCCUUGCGCGCUCAGCAACCUCUUGGCUCGCUUAGCUUAUUCUCGAGCAUCAUGGGAUUCUUUUUCAUUUGUCUUUAUAGCUUCAUCGGCUAUCUCACGGCCACCUUUCAUCCAAACAUUGGAAUAAAACUUCUCGCCCAUCAAAGUAGCUUCGGCCGAAGGCUCCUUCAUGUCGUCUAUGGAGAAGACGGCUUCCGCCUGGGCUGCAGUUUUAACAUGUUCACAGCCAGUUUUCUCCAAAACUGCUGCAACCCCUCGGGCACCGGCGAAGGCACAAAAAUCCUCGCGUUCGCUAAGUAUUUCCUCAAAAGCUUCAACUUCUUCGCAAAUCCAUUGAACGACUCCUUUUGGAUCGCCUCGAAUAAAUUUUUGCUCCGAUGAGUAUGCACCCACCUUUGCAAAACUGUCUUUCAGUUUCUUUGCAUAGUCCAUGGAUACUUCGUAGCAUUUCUCUCUGGAACCCCGAAGUUCUUCAACAUUCUUCUCAAGCCUGGAGCUUGUCCAUUCACUUAUAUCUUACUUUGCCUUAGCAAGUUCAAUAUUUUCGCUCAUUUCGGCAAGUUUUUUGUGAAGGUCUUCGACUUCGGCUUGGUGAGCUUCGGAUUGUGCAUUAAGUUUUGCUUCGUUGCUCUUCAGUUUAUCCACCAAGGAAAGCAGUAUUUUAUCUUUUUCAAGCGCCUCGUUCCUUAAUGUAAUAACUUAUGACCGAAGGUUCCCAAGGGCUAUUUGGCAGCUUUCAUCUUCUGCAUUCUUUUGUGCCCUUAAAGCCUUGCUUAGGAUUAAUGCCUACAAAAAAUGAAGGAUCAGCACACAACAAUAAGAAAAGAUACAAAAAGUAAUCUGCUUAUAAGCUAAAAUGUCCUCACCAUCAGACUGUUAUAAGCAAGGAUGUCUGCAAGGUCAUCUUUCGACAUUGCAGACAACCCAAGCUCUAGCUUCGGGAAACCUAUAUUUUUUGCCAUCUCCCGACAAACAAAUAUUUUCUUGUUGUCUGGAAGGCAAUACAAAAAAUCAUCUUCGUCAGUGCCAUUAAACAUGAGGGAUCCUGGGGGAUACUUCAGAUCCUUAGCAAAUUGCCUAGCUUCGGCAACCUGCUCCUCUGAUAGUUUUUCCCUACCGCGUGACACACUAUAAAUUCCGAUCCCUCAGUAGAAGCUUCAACGGCAAGGAAUUCAGAUUCUUUGCUGGUUCUCUCUUUUCCUAACGGUAACGGAGCUUUUUCAGCAUCCAAAGGUCCUUUUUCAGCAUCCUUUUCAAUAAGCUCUGCAGGCCCUAUUUCUGCGGGAACUGAGGGCCCAGCUUCAGCUUCAACCCAAGUUAUGAUAGCUUCGGCAGUUUCCUUUGUACUUUUCUUACCCAUGCUAGGUACUUCUGUAGAGGCAGGAGUUAGUACUUUUGUCGAUUCCAUGACAGCAUCCAGUACACUAGCCAUUCUCCUCCUUUUUGGAGUUAUCAAAGUAGUUUUUUGAAUCUUCGGCAAUUCUGCCUCUGGCCGUGAAAAAGUUUUUGGCUGCUCCGCUGCUAUCUUCAGAAUUGGCUCUUCGGCUGAUCCCAAUAUGGCUUCGGCAGUAGCGAGAUGAUUUUGCUCAGCUGCAGAAGAAGACCCUUCAACAGGCUUUGACACUUUGGCCGUCUCAGAGUGCCUGGGCCGGUGUGUCAAGACUUUGCCAUUUUUCCCUUCGGCGUGGCAGAGAUUGCCGAAGCAGUAGCCUUCCUUUUCUUUCCCUGCUUUCGCGAGGGAUAACAAUAGUCUGGGUACACAAAACCAAUUACAUCAAAAACCCUAUUUAAUCUCUUCUUGCCUCGUCCUCCGAAGGCCAAUGUCAUGGCAUCGUCUUCGGCCCUUGUGUAGGCCCCAAGCAAUUCGUCACUAGUAGCCUCAAUGCAAUCCAACCAGUCAUCGUUCGGCUCAUCGAACUGAUCUCUGUAUCUGAAGGUGUAUUUCAGAUAAACUAAACUAACUUGACUGGACCCGGCCGCAGCUUCCUUCGACAUCUCCCAGCCACUUCCAAGAGGCCACACUCUGUAAGCAAUAUGCUCCUAGACUAAGUCCCUAGUGCCAAUAUAAGUACAUAAAGUGUUAAAGUCCGUAUGGCAUGCUUGAAUAUCAUGUCCAUGGACAGUGGUUGGCCUCCUAAUGCCGAAGCGAGACCAGAUAGGGCAUUGAAUGAUCCCCUUUAUAUCUUCUCUUUCAACUAAGUUGUUCUUCACAUAAAACCACUCUUGCAUCCAGGCUCCUGGCCACCUCUUCCAAAAUGUUGGGACGGGAUAGCUCACACCAGAGCGAGGCAUGAAGCCGUAACAACGAAAAUUAUUAUGAUAUUGUUCUAUGCCAGUAGCCUUUGUCUCAUAGGACAGGUCAUGCAUGUUGCAGAAGCAUUUUGCAUUCGGCUCUAAACCCUGGCCCAAAUGAAAACUCCCAUUCUGAUGAUAUCUUCGGGGGUAAUUUGAUGAAGGUAAAUUUCAAAAGUCUUCAAAACUUCAACUAAAAAUUUGUUCAGGGAGAAUCGAAGCCCUGCUUUCAUAGAACUCCUGUAGACAACAACUUCGUCUGCUUCGGGCAUAGGGGCACUGCUAUCUCCUCUGGCCCUCAUGAUAGAAAUAUCGCGGAAGUAUCUUCCUUUCAUUGCAUCAAUCUGACUCUGUUUGAUGGUUGAUUUAGCAAAGAUGGUAUGACUCGGUCGCCAGGGCUGAUCUUCGACAUCUUCGUUUCCACUUUCUAAGUCAAAACUUUCACUAUCGCUGGAAUCUUCAGACAACCCAACCAACAUCUCAUUGGUGAUCUUCUUCAUAUUUGUCUUCUCCAUAGCUUCAUAAAACCCGGCCAAUGCAGGGUCAGCAAUCUUCUUCUCUUUAGCCAUUUAGACAACGAUUGCACGAUUGUCGAAGCUUAAAACUCAAUCAAAACUCGACAGAGCAAGAGAAUUCAGAAUGUCUAAAAUAGCGCAAGCAACUGAAAUAGCACAGCAAAUGCUGCCAAUGCGAGUUUCUAUUUAUAUGCCUCACGAUUUGGUGGGCCAUACAUGUCAGUGGCUUUCGCUAUUCUAGCGAAGGGAAGGUGUUUUUUCGGAUCUUCGGUUAAAGGCCUUCGUUCACGUCACAGUCUAAAUUUGUUACAAAGAAACAAAUUAAUACUACGAGGGGCUACUGUUGGGGGCCUUCCUUUUCCGAAGGUCCUCAAAAACGUGGCUAACCAUAUGUUUUCAGUAUGACAUAGACUAUUAUAGGAAGCUUCGGCUUUGGGAUGAAGGCGUGUGAUAUGAGGAUACAACCCGAAUGCAACAUGGAUGGACGUCGAAGCUAUGGCUAAAGGAGCUUCAGCUUGGCAUGUUAGCGAAGAUGAAGGACGAAACCGACCUAAGGGAGAAAAGACUACUUAGUCCUUGAUAGUUUGCAUUAUGAUUAAGAGUAGAUGUCAGGGGCAUGAAUGUAAUCUUAUCCGGGCUAUGUCCCGUGCCUAUAAAUAGAUGAGAAGUAACACCGUACUGUUCACGCUGGAUUGUAAUCGCUCCUACAUCACUCUCGCAUCUUCACCUUUUGGCAAGCCGAAGGUAUCAAUGUAAUACAAAUAUUGAUUAUGUUUAUUCAUGCUUAUGAAAUGAGAAUAUAAAUAGCUUGCUGAUUCAUAACCAUUAUUUAUAUUCUUUUGUAUUUCAUGUACCCUUAUUUAUAUGUGUUCACUGAGAUGAUGAAGGUAUGCCCUUCAUGACCUUCGUCCGGAAACCAUUAUAUCCAAAAGGAGAUAAUGCUUCGAAGGACGAAGGUCUCUAAUUAUUGACAAUCGUGUUGUCUUGUUCUUGAUGUAUAGCAUUUGGGAAUAAGGACCAAUAGCUUGCUUCUUUGCCGAGUGCCAAGGCCACAGCACUCGGCAAAGAGUCUUUACCGGUGCGCAGGUGUGCCUUCUUUGCCGAGUGCUAUGACAUUGACACUCGGCAAAGUAUCUCUUUGUCGAGUGUAACACUCGACAAAGUGACCAGAUUAUCCCUUUUUAUUUGUUUUUGCUAUUCCAUCCAAACAAAUAAAAGAUAUAUCGCAUAAUCAUCACAUAUACAUCAUAGAUAUCACAUAAUCAUCGCAUACAUAAUAGAGACUGCAUAUUUCACAAAAAACACAAAUCUCACAAGUUUUUCUCAAACAUGUCCAUGUUCAUACCAAGAUUCACUAACAUAAGUAUCACACAACUCUAAAACAUAAGUUUUUCACAAACAUAAGUUUAGGACAAGUUUAUCACACAAGCUAAGAGAAGAUCAUGAGCGAGGUGGGCGGCUGGACUGGUGCGGCGACGGGCUGGGCGAUCCACGAGGGUUGUUGGAUGCCGCCCUAGAUUGUCCCUGCACAGAGAAGAGAUUGCCUGUGUUAUACUAGAUAAAUAUACAUCAUGCAGGACUAGAAUUUUGAUACUCAUAGGAGUAUGGAACUGAGCAGGGUCAACUGGAGGGAACAACGGAGGUGGUGGAGCAAAACCCUGUGCGGUGCCAAGGCUCUGCAUGUACUGGAACAUCUCUGCCAUCCUCUGUUGAUUUUCCAUGUGGGCCUCCCGCUCCGCCAUCAUCCUCGCCUCCAUAUCCUACCGUUCCCUCCUCUCUUCUUCUAGCUAGGCAUAUAAUAUUUCAACCCAGUGUUAUAAUAACUCAAAGAGAAGGUAUAUAACUCAAGGAAAGACGAGUUACAGAAGCACUAACCUGGAGUUGUUGUAUCUCAUGAUGUGAGUUGUCCUGUCGAGGUCGUAUGGCUGGGCUUGAGCUCGUGGUCCUUGCUCGCACCUGAGACAGAGUGGGAGUGGACAACGAGUCGAUUGUCCCGUCGGCAAUCCAGUACCUCCCAUGCCUCUUGCCUCCUCUGACCCUCAUGAGAACAUCUCCGUCGAUUUCCUUGGUCCUCGGAUCGUAAUCUGGCCCAUGGACCUCAUGUGACAUGGCAGUGUACUCACUUAGGCGGUUGUAGACGGCGGAGUUGCUAUAUGCCUCGGGCCCGUCAUCCGGGUUGUAGGUGACAUCGGACGUCGCCUUUCCCUUGUGGGCCAUAGCAUAAACCGAGAAGAUGGAGCAUGGCUGGCCACCAUGUAACACCAAAUGCAAUAAAAUCAAUGAGAUAGUUAGAAAUAAUAUCUAAACCAGUGCUAUAUACCUAAAUAAAAAGAGGGCGUACCCAUGCUUCUACAUAUUUCCAGAGGUUGCGACUGCCUUGGUGGUGGGAGGGACCUUACAUCAUCAAAUGUCGUUCCAUGCUAGCGUUGUGCGCCUCGUCCCACUUAGGCGAGCACCACCUAUCCACCAUCUGCUCCUAGCACUGAGGAUGCGCGGCGCACCAAUAAGGAAUCAUCUACAAACUAAAACAAGUACAUUGCAUAUCAGAAGAUAAAAUUAAGCAAUUUUUUUCACGAAUAUUAAAGUGAUGUAUUUACCUGCAAGUAUUGGUCCCUAGUCAACGACAUGGUUCGGGCCUCUUGUUUGGUCACCUUCUCUCUAAGGACGGAGCCAUGGUAGAUGAUGAUGACCUAGAUUCGUGCAUCGUAGUGCAUGUCCACGACGAGCUUCUUACAGCUUGUGGUGGCCACCACAUUUGCCCUGGCCUCGUAUCCAGCCUCGCAUCUGAAGAAAUCCUACAUACAAAGGCGAUAUAUCCAUACAUUAUUUCAAGUAUGUGCAACAAAUGCGACAUAUUUUACAAUAUAGUAAGACUUACUCAUAGCUUUUGCUUCACCCGCUCUGCCAUGUUGUUAAAUUCCCUAUCGUCCUAGUCUACUGCAUCAGGGGUGACGACGUAGUGGUCGAAGGUGUAGGCAGUAGGUUGGGCCCACCACUCCAGCGUACUCAACCAGUCCAGGGAAGUGUUCCCUACACAUAAGGCCAAGGAUGCCAUUGGGUUGUGGUCGUGACUCCCUGCAUUCUCCACAACCUUUCAAGACCUGUCCAAGUGAUAAAUAAAAAGUAUUAGUUUAUAUUAUGAAUUUGAACACAUAAUAUGAACAAACAGUGAGAACAUAAAAUUACAUGUCUCUCCCCAUCCUUCUGAAUCAGCGACCGCCUAUCUCGAAGUAUGGGACGCUGAGGGAGACUCGUGGGACCUCGCUGGUAGACGUUCCUCGAAUCUGAAGCACCAGAACCUGAGGCGUCUUGCUGAGCGUCGUCGUCGUCCUACUGUGUCGCAUCGAUAACGACCUGCUGCUGGACGUCGUCAUCCUGUUGUGCCUUCUUCGCCUUCCUACGGGUGCUCCUCCUCCCCCUCCUUGUCCUCAUCCCACCGCCCACCAUAUUUGUCCAACAACCUGUAAUUAAGGGUAAGCAAAUAAGCACAUAUAAAAAAGUUUAUUUACAAAUAGGCGUGAAAUAAAAAAAAUAGCAUUACAUCGUUUAAAAAAAUCUUCAUAUGUGUCGGGGUUAGCCAGAUCAUAAGUGUCAUCAUCACAAUCAACCAUUUCAUAGUCAACACCAUCUGAAGGCGCAAGUUCUUCAUUAAUGUCAUUGCCUUCAAGUAAUUCUAAGUCAUUCUCAUUUUGCACCUCAUCAACAACCAUUUCAAUAUCUACUUCCAUUCCGAUAGCUUCGGUUAAGUCUAUCUCAAAUCACCCUUCUAGCCCAUAUUCUUGGAAGAACUCUCCAUCAUAUGUAUCCGGGUCUAAGUUAUAAUCUUCAUCAUUUGGAACAGGUAAUUUACCGUGCAGUGAUACCUUAUACACAACAUCCCAACCCAUCCAUGCCUCAUAUAGGAGAUGAAGAAUCAAAUGCUGCAUUGGAUUGAAGAAGUCGAGUGGAAAUAUCUUCUCAAGCUUACACAAAAACACGGGUGUCAAUCUUUCCAAGUCUGCAAUCACGGACCAAGAUAACUCUUUCACACAAAGCUGGCAGAAUAAAUAGCUGAACUUUGUAAGCGCUAGCCAUACAUGCUCAGGGACAUAGCCUCGAACCAUCGUCGGAAGAAUCUGUUCAAUCCAUAAGUGGAAGUCAUGACUCUUCAUCCCUAAGACUCACAGAGUAGAUAAGUUCACCCCCCUACUUAGGUUAGCUGCAUACCCAUCAGGAAACAUCAACAUCUUGAUCCACUAAAGUACUUCCUUCCUCUGGGCCCUACUUAGGACGAAAUCGGCCUUAGACCUUCUCCAUGUCUUUCCACCACUAGGCGGCUUCAUUUCUUGGUUUGGUCUAUCACAUAACGCUGUCAGAUCCACUCUUGUCUUUACAUUAUCCUUUGACUUAUCAGGAAUGUCCAUAAUUGUUGCCCAAAGUGCCUCGGCGACAUUCUUUUCAGUGUACAUCAAGUCAAUGUUGUGUGGAAGGAGUGGGUCAUCAUAAUAGGGGAGCCGAGUCAAGCCCGACUUAUGUGUCCACAUAUGCUGCUCACCAUAUCCCACAAAUACACCUUCUGGAUUGGCCACGAGCCCAUCUAUUUGUUGACGAAUUUCGGCACCAGUCAUCAUUGCAGGUGGUUGGUCUGUCACUACAACACCUUUCGUAAAGUUAUUGAUGUCUAGGCGGAAUGGAUGGUUAGGAGGGAGAAAUUGUUGAUGUUUAUCGAACAACGAAUAUUUGCCACCCUUUUUCAACCAAAUGAACUUAAGAGCUUCCUUACAAACUAGGCAUGGGAACUUACUGUGAACACAAUAGACACAGAAUAGCCCAUACGCCGGUAAGUCAUGCAUGGCGUACUAGUACCAAACAUGCAUUUUGAAGUUUUUCUUCGUAGCUCGGUUAUACGUCCAUACCCCUUCCUCCCAAGCAUGUACGAUUCAUCAAUCAAAGGCUCCAUGUACACGCCCAUUUUAUUCCCCGGGUGUCCGAGAAUUAUCAACGACACAAAUAUGUUCUGCCUUUAAAAGCAUACACCGGGGGGAGAUUGAUUGGGAUAACAAACACGGGCCAACAUGUGUAUGGGGCAGCGCUCAUUCCAUAGGGAUUGAACCCAUCUGUGGCCAGCGCAACACGUACAUUAUGAGCCUCUUCAGCUUUCUCGCGGUAAAUGGCAUCAAAGUGUUUCCAUGCUUCACCAUCGGAUGUGUGCACCAUCUUAUCAUGAUUGUAUCGUUUGCCAUUUUUGUGCCAUGUCAUCUGUUUCGCGGAUUCCUCAGUCAUGUAUAGACGCUGGAUCCUCGGUGUGAACGGAAGGUGGUGUAGGAUUGUCACGGGGAUGUCGAGCUGCCUAUCAUGUCCAUCACCAAAGUCUACCUCCAUGAACCUAGACGAUUUACACUUCGGACAGUACUUUGCUUCCGUGUAUUCUUUCCUAAAUAGCACGCAGUCCUUCGGACAAGCAUGUAUCUGCUCAUAUGUCAUCUUGAGUGCACGGAGGAGUUUCUGUGUGUUGGGGACCUUCGGCAUCCGAAGGUCCUCAAAAACGGGAUUUAACAGUAUUUCUGGAAGUAUAAUGUGUGAGCAGGUACCUUCAGACUCAAGUCGGUAUCACGGCAGGAGAAGACCCGGAUAAUACGAAGGUCUUGAUACAACGCCGAAGAUGUUAGCAGGAAAGCUUCGGCAUGGUUGCAGAAAAUGAAACCGACUUAAAGAUGAAAAGGCUAUUCAGACCUCGAUAGAUUACUAUAGAAUUAUUAUCAAAUGUAAAGGGCAUGAAUGUAAUUUUGUAUGGGCUGUGUCCCGUGCCUAUAAAUAGGUGAACAGAACCCCCGUACUGUUCACGCUGACUUGGCAUUCGCUUUUUGCGUCACGCUUGUACUGUCAUCUCCUUCCGAUUGAAGGUACACUUGUAAUUCAACGAUAUUUCUGUUUAUGUCUGAUAAUAAUAUAUAAUUGUUCAUAUUGUCUUUUAUGUUCUUUACAUUUCAUUCUUCGUCAUUGCUUAAUGAAUUUAUGAAGGUACGUCCUUCAUAACCUUCGUCCGUAAACCAUUAUAUCCUAAGGGAAAUAAUGUUUCGGAGGGCGAAGGACUUUAACGAUUAACAUUUUCUAUGUUGCCUUGUUCUUAACUCAUAGCACUUGAGAACAAGUCCCCAACAUUGGCGCCCACCUCCGGUGAACUCACUUCCACUCUUUGAAGUUUUUUGAACACCUUCGGCGAUCAUAAAUCUUCGUUAUGGCGCCGAAGAAAGCUUCAGCGACUGGGGCUGCAGCUCUGCAACCACUGGACCACAAUCAGGAGACAGUUUCCCUGCGGGAGGCCCGAAGCCAGAAAAGGAAGGCUGUCAGUCCGACACCACCAGAGGACGAGAUAGAUCAAGAAAUCAGAGAUAUGGAGAUGCUUCAUCAACAAGUACAGAGGAAGAAAGAAAAGAUGGCCAGGCUAGCUGAACUGCAGAGGCAGAUAGACGAAGCCUCUGAAGAAGUUCGUCAUCUUGCUCAGGAUGAGCAACACCGAAGGCCUCAGCACCAAGACCUUCAUCAGGAGGGUUUUCCCAACGAAGAUGACUGGUAUGACAAUUUCCAUCAUGGGAAUUUUGUUUUUGAUGAUGCUUCUCCUCUGUCCGCUGAGCUGCAGGCUACACCUUGGCCUCCGUCCUACAAGCCGCCUCAGCUUCCCGUAUUCGAUGGUCACUCAGACCCGAAGCAGUUUUUGAUGAGCUACGAAGCAACAGUAUCUUCGUAUGGUGGCAAUGCUUCAGUCAUGGCCAAAUCUUUCGUUAUGGCUGUCAGAAGUGUUGCUCAAACCUGGUAUUCCUCCCUUCGACCAGGAACGAUCACUUCAUGGCAGAAGCUGAAGGACUUGUUGUUAACUAGCUUUCAAGGAUUUCAGACGAAGCCGGUCACUGCUCAGGCUCUGUUCCAGUGCACCCAGGAUCACGAAGAAUACCUUCAGGCGUAUGUCCGAAGGUUCUUGCGUUUGAGGGCACAGGCACCAACGGUGCCCAAUGAAAUUGUCAUCGAGGCCAUGAUCAAGGGGCUUCGGCCAGGACCGUCAGCUCAGUACUUCGCCAGGAAGCCUCCUCAAACUUUGGAGAAGCUGCUCCAGAAGAUGGACGAGUACAUUCGGGCCGAUAAUGAUUUUCGCCAAAGAAGGGAGGAGGCUUUCAGGUUUUCUGAAAUGACCAGGGGCUUCGGAGGGAGGUUCUACCCGAGGCACGUGAGAUCAAUUCAUAACUCUACACAAAAAUGAUGAUAGAGGAAGCCAACAGCAAAGGCCACAAUGCUCCUCACAGGCUUCGGGGCAACAGCAAAGCUCCUUCCGACCACCAGCUCCAAGAGGCAGAGGCGCCAGGGGCUUUGGAGGAAGAUUUGGAGAUCAACCGAGAAGAAUCUUUUGCUUAUUCUGCGGUGAGAACAAAGGCCAUACUACCAGGAUGUGCCAUGUUACUAUUCAGAAGCAAAAGGAAAUAGCUGAAGCCGCAGCACAACAAGCUCAGCCGAAGCAGGUCAUGCAUACAACUUCGUAUCAUUCGCCCUACAUCCCAGAAUAUGUGGGCAACCAUCCUGCAGUUUCUGUUGCUUCGGCAAGUCAGCCUCAAGCUUCCUGGCAACAGCCUCCGCCUCCACCUCCGUUGCAACAAGGCCAGCAACCAGAAGGGAGCCAGUAUGCUCCACACCAGAGGGACUUCAGAGAGCAGUCCGAAGCUCGUACAGUCAAUAGCACUGUGCCAGAGUCAAAGCACAUCUAUUGACGAAUAUCCUACCUUAAUAGCAAUCUUUUUCAUUCAGUUUUAUUUUCUGUAAUAAAGGACAUUGUUUAGGUUUCAUGUAAUUAGUUUCGUUGAUUCCUACAAGAAAAAUAUGUUUUCCUCACAGGCUUAAAUUGAUUGAAGUUCAAAGACUUGUGAUAAAAAAAAGGACCUUCGAACUAUCGAAAAUUCUUCGAAGCAACAAAAAGUCGUUCUAAGGAACGCAGAGUAAGUUUGCCGAAGUCACAAAAAGUCGUUCCAAAGGGAGCGCAGUGUAAGUUUUCUGCUCCAAAGUCGUUCCAAAGGGAAUGCAGAGCAUACAGCGAAAAGUCAACGCUGAUACCGCCUAAGUAAAAGGCGAAGCGCGAAAAGUCAACGCGAAUACCGCUGAAAGUAAAAGGCGAAGAAGCUCCUAAGGGAGGCUUACAGCGAAAAAUAAACGCUGAUUCCGCUGAAGUAAAAGGCGAAGAAGCUCCUAAGGGAGGCUUAUAAAAGAUGUGUUUUAUUGCAGGGAUGCGUAUGUAUCUUCGGAAUAAACGUCAUCUCACAUAACAUAACAUCAUCGCAUCAUUUCGCAUAGCAUAAGCAUCAUACAUCAUUUUGCACAUGGCACAAGAGGUGGACACAUUAUUAAUCUACAGAAGAACGCUUUGAAAAAAGGGAGAAAUCAAAGUCACAAAAAGAUACAUCAUUGAUCUUCGGAAGUGUAUCUUCGGAAGUGUAGCUUCGGAAAAUAUCUUCACGAAGCCUGGAUAUUAAUCAUCAGAACAUUGGAUAUUGUUGUGACAAAGAAAAAUUCUUCUUCACGAAGCAUGAAAAGAAGGGAAGGUGUUUUUUCGUCAAAGACUCAAAAGUGGUACGUGUAAAGUUUCAUGCAUCGUAAAGAAUUGACUAACAAAAAUAGGUAUAUUACAUUUGGGGUUACAAAAUGUUACAGUAUAUUACAUUUCAGAAAGUUUUCACAAAAAUACUUAAUCUUCUCUCAAAACGACUUCUGCAGCCUCGUUCAGGAGCCGAUUGACGACUUCGUCCAUAAUAUCUUCAGCCAUCUUUUUAAUUUCGUCGUCUCCUUUCGGCUGAGGGCCCGAAGACGCUUUAGCACGAUCUGAAGUAAGACAGCAUGCGGCUACAUUGCUAUUACAAAUCGCAAACAAAUCUUAAAGCCUAAGAUUACAACACGAUAAAAACUAUUAGUUAAUACCUAAUUGACCUUCGGCCUCUGCGCUCUUUUCAGCAGCCUCAGCCACUUCUCUAGCAUCGUGAAUGCCCUUUUCACUUCUUCGAAUAAUUUCUCCGGCCAUUUCUCAGCCACCAUUAUCCCAGAUAUCGGUAAAACAUUUUCCACCAAUUAUACUAGCUUCGGCCGAAGGAUCUCUUGCAUCUUCAAAGGGCAAAGCAGCUUCGGAUUGUGCUAAAAUUUUUACAUGUUCGCAGCCCUUCUUCUCUAAGAUGGUGGCAAUCCCUCUGGCACCAGAGAAGGCACAUAUAUCUCCUCGGCUAUUUAAAAUUUCUUCGAAGGCUUCAGCUUCGUGGUCGAUCCAUUCGAUGACACCUUCGGGAUUGCUUCUCGAAAAGUUUUCCUCACUUGAGAAUGCGCCGACCUUGGCGAAGCUAGCCUUUAGCUUCUUAACACAAUCUAUAGAUUUAUUAUAGCAUCUCUUUUUGGACGAACGAAGCUCUUCAACAGUCACUUCUAGGUGAUCUGCCCAUUGAUCGCUGAGUUCACGCUUUGUUUCUUCAAGUAUGCGUUCUUCCUUGGCUCUGGCCAGUUGUUUCCGAAGAUCUUCAAUUUCGCGCUUCUGAGCUUCAGCUUGACCUUUAAAAGCAGCUUCGUCUUCCUUUAUUUUAUUUAUCAAUGAGUAUAAUAUUUUAUCUUUUUCGAGACCUUCGUUCCUCAGUUCAAUUACUUCGGAACGAAGGUUGCUCAGGGCUAUAGUACACCCUUCGUCUUCAGCAUCUUUCUGUGCCCUGAGGGCAUUGCUAAGUAUCAGGCCCUGCAAAGAGAAAUAUGUGUGCGUCAAUAGGUUUAAACAAACGAAAAAUACAAGGAUUUCAUUUCUCGCACCUUUAAGCUAUUGUAAGCCAGGCUGUCGGCCAGAUCGUUCUUCGACAGCACCGAGAGCCCGUCUUCUAAAGUUGGGAAUCCGAAGCUCUUGCUCAUCUCCCGACAGACAGAAAUUUCCUUGCUAUCGGGGAGACAAUACAAGAAGUCUUCUUCUCCACUGCCAUUGAAUAUUAACGCCCCCUUUGGAUAUUUCAGUUUUUGGGCGUAGUGCUGGGCCUCUUGCUCUUCUUUUUCUGAUAGUUUUUUCCCCGAAGCAUGGCGAACAAUAUAAUCACGAACUUUGGGGGAUGCUUCGGGGGCAAUGGCACCGGUUUCUUCAACAAAAGUUGGCUUUGUUAUUUUUUCUGCCUCACUUUCCAAGGAUUUUAUCUUUGCAGGCUCUGAGGGCCCAGCUUCGGCUUUAGUCUCUUGCCCUGAAGCUUUAGAUCCAGAAAUUUCAGUUGUUUCAGGAAUGACAGCAGCCCUCUUCGGAGGUGUGCUUGAAGAUUUGAUCGUUUCCAGUACAUCUAGCACAUUAGCCAUUCUCUUUCUUUUCGGAGUCACUGCUGGCACUUUCACUAUCUCAAUGUUUGCUGCAGGACUCAAAACUUCUGAUGUUUUGGAUCCCUCAGUUGAUUCUUUUACCUUUUCCAUUUUUUCUGUGGACGGCGCUUCGGCUUUCUCUUUCGUUUCUGAUAACAAAAUUUUUGAUUGUUCCAAUUCUAUCUUUGUUGGCACUUCGGCCGUUUCUGCGACUUCUGGCAGCAAGGUUGGCUCGGUUGGUUUUUCAGCUUCGGUGGCCGAAGAAGUUUCUCCGGUAAACUCAGGCACCGAAGCUGGUUCAAUAUAGCGCGGCCGAUGCGUAAGGACCUUUAUCUUCUUUCUUUUCGGUUCUGGCUCGCUAGGAGCAGUUGCAGCUUCUUCUUUUGCAGAGGUUGUGUUUUUUCUCUUCUGCCUUCGAAUGGGAUAGCAAUAGUCAGGGUAGACAAACCCGAUUGCAUCAAAUACCCGAUUCAGCCUCUUCUUUUUUCGGCCUCCGAAGGCUGCUGACAUUGCAGUAUCUUCGGCCUUCGAAUAGGUCCCAAGCAGCUCAUCACUUAAAUUUUCAAUGCUUUUUAACCAGUCAUCAUCUGGUUCAACGAAUUUAUCUCCAAACUUAAAAGUGUACUUCAACCUGAUAAGUCCACCUUCGUCGGCCUCUUUUAUGGUUUCUUGUGGCAUUUCCCAUUUCUCCGCAAGUGGCCAUACCCUGAAGGCGAUAUGCUCUUGUACUAAGUCCCUCGUUCCAAUAAAAGAACAGAUAACACCGAAGGCCCUCUGGCAUUCUUCGGCAGCCUCACUCAUUUCAACCUUCGGCCUCCGAAGGCCGAAGCUUUGCCAAAUAGGGCGCAUAAUUAUACCUUUGAUAUCUUCUCGCGCUGUCAGAUCAUUCUUCACAUAAAACCAUUCUGUCAUCCAGUCGCCGGGCCAUCUCUUCCGAAAGGUCGGCACGGGACAGCUUGACCCGGACCGAGAAACGAAAUUGUAGCAGCCAAAAUUAUUGUGAUACUGUUCCUUACCCCAAGGUUUUGUUUCGUAUGAUAAUUCGUGUAUAUUGCAGAAACUUUUUGCAUCAGGCUUCAGACCUUGGCUUCUCACGGCCCACACGAAGAUAUUUAGCCUUAUAAUUGCCUCAGGGGUAAGUUGAUGGAGAUAGACUUCGAAUAUUUUCAGUACCUCCACAACGAAGCUGCUCAAGGGAAAUCGCAGUCCAGCUUUCAAAAAGCUUCGGUACACUACGACUUCAUUCUCUUCAGGGUGUGGGCAAGUUUUUUCCCCUUCGUCGGCCCUCACAAUGGACAAAUCCCGGAAAUACCUUCCUCUCAUGUUGACAAGAUGAUUCUCUUUGAUAGUUGAUUUACCAUAAACUGAAUGGCUUGGUCGCCAGGGACGAUCUUCGGAGUCCUCACCACCACUGUCCACAUCAUAGCUGUCACUGUCACCAGUAUCUUCAGACAAACCUUCCAGAAUCUCCUUGGUAAUUUUUUCUGUAUUGGUCUUUGACAUCGCUAUAAGAAACCCCAAGUUUUUCUCUUCGUCAAGGCUCAGCUUCAUCUCAGCAACAGUCUUCUUAUCUUCAGACAUCUUCGGAGACGCUAAAAAACUAUUUUCAAAGCCGAAGCUUCAAAACUAAAAGCUUAGCAAAUCGCAGUGCACAAGAGCUAAAAAUUGAGUGAGCGGGAGUAGUUGGCCAGAAAGCGUGUCAAAUGAGUUUGCGGUAUGGCCGUAUUUAUACGCCAAGAGCGUUGAAAAUUCAAAGACCCCGCUUGUCAGUGAAUGUUGCUAUUCUAGCAAAGGGAAGGUGUUUUUUCGGACCUUCGGCGUAAAGCCUUCGUCCAUGUCGCAAUCUAAAUUCGUUAUUUUAAAACAAAUUAAUAUUGCGAGGGGCUACUGUUGGGGACCUUCGGCAUCCGAAGGUCCUCAAAAACGGGAUUUAACAGUAUUUCUGGAAGUAUAAUGUGUGAGCAGGUACCUUCGGACUCAAGUCGGUAUCACGGCAGGAGAAGACCCGGAUAAUACGAAGGUCUUGAUACAACGCCGAAGAUGUUAGCAGGAAAGCUUCGGCAUGGUUGCAGAAAAUAAAACCGACUUAAAGAUGAAAAGGCUAUUCAGACCUCGAUAGAUUAUAUAGAAUUAUUAUCAAAUGUAAAGGGCAUGAAUGUAAUUUUGUAUGGGCUGUGUCCCGUGCCUAUAAAUAGGUGAACAGAACCCCCGUACUGUUCACGCUGACUUGGCAUUCGCUUUUUGCGUCACGCUUGUACUGUCAUCUCCUUCCGAUUGAAGGUACACUUGUAAUUCAACGAUAUUUCUAUUUAUGUCUGAUAAUAAUAUAUAAUUGUUCAUAUUGUCUUUUAUAUUCUUUACAUUUCAUUCUUCGUCAUUGCUUAAUGAAUUUAUGAAGGUACGUCCUUCAUAACCUUCGUCCGUAAACCAUUAUAUCCUAAGGGAAAUAAUGUUUCGGAGGGCGAAGGACUUUAACGAUUAACAUUUUCUAUGUUGCCUUGUUCUUAACUCAUAGCACUUGAGAACAAGUCCCCAACACUGUGCCUCAUACAUGCUCUUUGGUAGAACGUGAUCCUCCGGAAGCAGGCUACCAAUAACUGUCAACAAGCAAUCGAAUGCGUCUUGACUCAUGUUAUACUGCGACUUGAACGCUAUUACAUGCCCAAUGGCAUCCAGUUGAGAAACCUUUGUCUGGCUGUGAAGGGGCUUCUGUGCCACGUCAAACAUGUCGUAGAACGCCUUUGCAAUCGGCUCUAGCUCGUCCUCCAUACAUCCUCCGACGAACUAUGCCUCAUGAUAGUCGUUCAACAUAUCUGCUACCCCCGCAUCAGCAUCAUAAUCCUCGACGUGUUGUCUCUGAAAGGGAAAUAAGCUUACACCUUUUCCUAAAUGAUUUUGGUGGUUGAAUUGCCCAACACAAAUAAUUGGACUAACUAGUUUGCUCUAGGUUAUAAGUUCUAUAGGUGCCAAAGGUUCAACACAUACCAAUAAAAAGUCCAAGAAAGGGUUCAAAUAAAAAGAGCAAAAGACAACCGAAGGCUGCCCUGGUCUGGCGCACUGGACUGUCCGAUGUGCCACCGGACAGUGUCCGGUGCACCAGAGAGAUUCACUCCAAACUUGCCACCUUCGGGAAUUUGGGAAGCCACUCCGCUAUAAUUCACCGGACUGUCCGGUGUGCCAAGCGGAGCAACGGUCGCCAACGCAAUGGUCGAGUUCAACGGUCGGCUGACAACGCUACAGUGCGCGGACUACGCGCGUAGAAGUCAGAGAAGGCGCAGAUGGCGCACCGGACAGUGAAGAGGACCUGUCUGGUGCACCAUCGGACUGUCCGGUGGCCCACAUGUCAGAAACUCCAACGGUCGAACCCUAACGGUUGGGUGACGUGGCUGGCGCACCGGACAGUGUCCGGUGGCGCACCGGACUGUCCGGUGCGCCCAUCGACAGCAGAGUUCCCCAACGACCACUUUGGUGGUUGGGGCUAUAAAUACCCCCCAACCACCACACUUCGAUGCAUCCAAGUUUUCAGCCAUCAAACCUCAUACAAGAGCUCUAGACUUCAUUCCAAGACACAAACAAAGAGAUCAAAUCCUCUCCCAAGUCUGGAAUCACUCCAAACAAAUUAGUGACUAGAGAGAGAGAGACUUUUGUGUUCUUUUAAGCUCUUGUGCUUGGAUCGCUUUUCUUCUUCCUCCUUUCUUGUUCUCAACUCAAUUGUAAUCAAAGCAAGAGACACCAAGUUGUGGUGGUCCUUGUAGUGGACUAAGUGUCCCGUUUGAUUGAAGAGAAAAGCUCACUCGGUCUAGGUGACCGUUUGAGAGAGGGAAAGGGUUGAAAGAGACCCGAUCUUUGUGACCACCUCAACGGGGAGUAGGUUUGCAAGAACCGAACCUCGGUAAAACAAAUCACCGUGUUCAUCUGUUUUAUUUCUUUGUUGAUUUGUUUUCCCUUUCUUUCGGACUUGAUUAUAUUUCUAACGCUAACCCUUGCUUGUAGUUGUGCUUAAACUUUAUAAAUUUCAGAUUUGCCUAUUCACCCCCCUCUAGGCGACUUUCAAUUGGUAUCAGAGCCCGGUACUUCAUUAGAGCCUAACCACUCGAUGUCAUGUCGGGAGCUCACGCCAAGAAGGAGAUGGUGACCGGCGAGAAGCCCGCCACAAGCCACGGGAAGGCUCCAUCGGGAGAGUCCGGCAACAAAAGGGAGGAAUCACCUCCCCACGUCAAGUCGCACCGGAGUGGUGACCAGAAGAAGAAAAUGAAGAAAGUGUUCUACUGUGAGACCGAUUCUUCGUCGCCAUCCACCUCCACGUCCGACGCGCCGUCCGUCACUUCUAAGCGCCAUGAGCGCAAGAAGUUUAGUAAGAUCUCCUUACGCUAUCCUCGUAUUUCCAAAUGCACUCCUUUACUUUCCGUCCCACUAGGCAAACCACCGGUUUUUGACGGUGAACAUUAUUGUAUGUGGAGUGAUAAAAUGAGGCACCAUCUAACCUCACUCCACGCUAGUAUUUGGGACAUUGUUGAGUUUGGUGCGCAGGAACCAUCCGUGGGGGAUGAAGGCUAUGAUUCGGAUGAGGUAGCCCAAAUCCAGCACUUCAACUCCCAAGCCACCACUAUACUCCUCGCCUCUCUAAGUCGAGAGGAGUAUAAUAAGGUGCAAGGGUUGAAGAGCGCCAAAGAGAUUUGGGACGUACUAAAGACCACACACGAAGGAGACGAGGUGACCAAGAUCACCAAGAGCGAAACGAUCGAGGGGGAGCUCGGUCGCUUCAUGCUUCAUCAAGGGGAGGAGCCACAAGCAAUGUACAACCGGCUCUAGACCUUGGUGAACCAAGUGCGCAACCUCAGGAGCACCAAAUGGGAUGACCAUGAAAUGGUCAAGGUUAUUCUAAGAUCACUUAUAUUUCUUAAUCCUACACAAGUUCAAUUAAUUCGUGGUGAUCCUAGAUACAAGAUAAUGUCUCCCGAGGAGGUUAUAGGAAAAUUUGUGAGCUUUGAAUUGAUGAUCAAAGGCUCCAAGAAAAUCAUCGAGCAAGGCGCCUCCUCCACACCCGAAAUGCAACUCGUCGCAUUCAAGGCAACAGAGGAGAAGAAAGAAGAGUCUACUUCAAGUAGACUUCCCAUCGACGCCUCCAAGCUCGACAACGAGGAAAUGGCGCUCAUCAUCAGGAGCUUUCGCCAAAUCCUCAAGCAAAGGAGGGGGAAGGACUACAAGCCCCGCUCCAAGAAAGUUUGCUACAAGUGUGGUAAGCCCGGACAUUUCAUUGCUAAAUGUCCAUUAUCAAGUGAUAGUGACAGGGGCGAUGACAAGAAGGGGAGAAGGAAGGAGAAGAAGAAAUAUUACAAGAAGAAGGGCGGCGAUGCCCAUGUAUGCCACGAGUGGGACUCCGAUGAGAGCUCCACCGACUCCUCCUCCGACGAGAACGCCGCAAACAUCGCCAUCAACAAGGGUCUUCUCCUUCCCAACGUCGAUCACAAGUGCCUCAUGGCAAAGGACGACAAAAAGAAGAAGGUAAAAUCUAGAGCUUCCACUAAAUAUGCAACAUCUAGUGAUGAGGCUAGCUCUAGUGAUGAUGAGGAUGAUUUGAUCACCCUUUUUGCCAACUUAAACAUUCAACAAAAAGACAAAUUGAAUGAAUCGAUUAGUGUUAUUCAUGAGAAGGAUGAACUCUUGGAUAGCCAAGAGGACUUCCUUAUUAAAGAAAAUAAGAAGCAUGUUAAAGUUAAAAAUGCUUAUGCUCAGGAGAUAGAAAAAUGUGAAAAAUUAACUAGUGAUCUAAGCACUUGCCAUGACACUAUUUUCAACCUUAGAUUUGAAAAUGACAAAUUGAUUGCUAAGGUUGAGAAAUUAAAUGUUAGUGAUGAUUCUCUUGUCAACCUUAGAAAUGAUAAUGCUAAUUUGAUUGCUAAGGUUGACAAAUUGAAUGCAUCUCUCUCUAGCCUUAAAAUUGAGAAUGAAAAAUUAAUUGCUAAGGCUAAAGAUUUAAAUGUUUGCAAUGUUUCUAUUUCCAAUCUUAGAGAUGAGAACACUAUUUUACAUGCUAAGAUUGUUGAAUUAAAUACUUGCAAACCCUCAACAUCUACCGUUGAACAUGUUACUAUUUGCACUAGAUGUAGAGAUGUUAAUAUUGAUGCUAUUCAUGAUCACAUUGCUAUGAUUAAACAACAAAAUGAUCAUAUAGCAAAAUUAGAUGCUAAAAUUGCCGAGCAUGAAUUAGAGAAUGAAAAAUUUAAAUUUGCUCGUAAUAUGCUUUAUGGUGGGAGACGCCCUGGCAUUAAGGAUGGCAUUGGCUUCCAACAGGGAGGCGAUGUCAAACUCAAUGCCCCUAAGAAAUUGUCCAACUUUGUUAAGGGCAAGGCUCCCAUGGUUUAGGAUAACGAGGGUUACAUUUUAUACCCUGACGGUUAUCCCGAACAUAAAAUUAGGAGAAUUCACUCUAGGAAGUCUCACUCUGGCUCUCAUCAUGCUUUUAUGAAUAAGAGUGAGGCAUCUAGUUCUAGGAAAUCCACCCAUGCUAAAUUGCCUAAGAAGAAAACUCCUAUAGCAUCAAACGAACCUAAUUUUUCAUUUAAGACUUUUGAUGCUUCUUAUGUGCUCACUAACAAAUCAGGCAAAAUAGUUGCCAAAUAUGUUGGGGCUAAACACAAGGGAUCAAAGACUUGUGUUUGGGUACCCAAGGUGCUUGUUUCUAAUGUGAAAGGACCCAAGACCAUUUGGGUACCUAAGAACAAGGCCUAAACUUGUUUUGUAGGUUUAUGCAUGCGGGGGCUCAAGUUUGAUCAUCGAUAGCGGGUGCACAAACCACAUGACUGGGGAGAAAAUAAUGUUCUCCUCCUAUGAGAAAAAUCAUGAUCCCCAAAGAGCUAUCACAUUCGGGGAUGGAAAUCAAGGUUUGGUCAAAGGACUUGGUAAAAUUGCUAUAUCCCCUGACCAUUCUAUUUCCAAUGUUUUUCUUGUAGAUUCUUUAGAUUACAACUUGCUUUCUGUUUCUCAAUUAUGCAAAAUGGGUUACAACUGUCUUUUUACGGAUAUAGGUGUUACUGUCUUUAGAAGAAGUGAUGAUUCUGUAGCAUUUAAGGGAGUGUUAGAGGGUUAGCUAUACUUAGUUGAUUUUAAUAGAGCUGAACUCGACACUUGCUUAAUUGCUAAGACUAACAUGGGUUGGCUCUGGCAUCGCCGACUUGCCCACGUUUAAAUGAAGAAUCUCCACAAACUUCUAAAGGGAGAACACAUUUUGGGACUAACAAAUGUUCAUUUUGAGAAAGACAGGGUUUGUAGCGCAUGUCAAGCAGGGGAAGCAAGUUGGUGUUCAUCAUCCACACAAGAACAUAAUGACGACCGACAGACCGCUUGAGCUACUCCACAUGGACCUAUUCGGCCCGAUAGCUUAUAUAAGCAUCAACGGGAGUAAGUAUUGUCUUGUAAUUGUGGAUGAUUAUUCUCGCUUCACUUGGGUGUUAUUUUUGCAGGAAAAAUCUCAAACCCAAGAGACCUUAAAGGGAUUCUUGAGAUGGGCUCAAAAUGAGUUCGGCUUAAGGAUCAAAAAGAUAAGAAGCGACAACGGGACGGAGUUCAAGAACUCUCAAAUAGAAGGCUUCCUUGAGGAUGAGGGCAUCAAGCAUGAGUUCUCUUCUCCCUACACACCACAACAAAAUGGUGUAGUGGAGAGGAAGAAUAGAACUCUACUUGACAUGGCGAGGACCAUGCUUGAUGAGUACAAGACUUCGGACCGGUUUUGGGCGGAAGCAGUCAACACCGCUUGCUACGCCAUCAACCGUCUCUACCUUUGCCGAAUACUCAAGAAGACAUCGUAUGAACUACUCACCGGUAAAAAGCCCAAUGUUUCAUAUUUUAGAGUCUUUGGUAGCAAAUGCUUUAUUCUUGUUAAAAGAGGUAGAAAAUCUAAAUUUGCUCCUAAGGCUGUAGAAGGCUUUUUACUUGGUUAUGAUUCAAACACAAGGGCAUAUAGAGUCUUUAACAAGUCCUCUGGACUAGUUGAGGUUACUUGUGACAUUGUGUUUGAUGAGACUAACGGCUCUCAAGUAGAGCAAGUUGAUCUUGAUGAGCUAGAUGAUGAAGAGGCUCCAUGCGUCGCGCUAAGGAACAUGUCCAUUGGGGAUGUGUGUCCUAAGGAAUCCGAAGAGCCUCCACAAGCACAAGAUCAACCAUCUUCCUCCAUGCAAGCAUCUCCACCAACUCAAGAUGAGGAUCAAGCUCAAGAGGAUGAAAAUGAAGAUCAAGAAGAUGAGCCACCUCAAGAGGAGGGCAAUGAUCAAGGGGGAGAUGCCAAUGAUCAAGACAAGGAAGAUGACGACAGUCCAAGACCACCACACCCAAGAGUCCACCAAGCAAUACAAAGAGAUCACCCCGUGAACUCCAUCCUCGGCGAUAUUCAUAAGGGGGUAACCACUCGAUCUCGUGUUGCUCAUUUUUGUGAACAUUACACCUUUGUAUCUUCUAUUGAGCCAUAUAGGGUGGAAGACACAUUAAGGGAUUCAGAUUGGGUGUUGGCGAUGCAAGAGGAACUCAACAACUUCACGAGGAAUGAGGUAUGACAUUUAGUUCCACGCCCUAAUCAAAAUGUUGUAGGAACCAAGUGGGUCUUCCGCAACAAGCAAGAUGAGCAUGGUGUGGUGACAAGGAACAAAGCCCGACUUGUGGCCAAGGGAUAAUCACAAGUCGAAGGUUUGGAUUUCGGUGAAACCUAUGCACCCGUAGCUAGGCUUGAGUCAAUUUGUAUAUUACUUGCCUAUGCUACUUACCAUGGCUUCAAGCUUUAUCAAAUGGACGUGAAAAGUGCCUUCCUCAAUGGACCAAUCAAGGAAGAAGUCUAUGUUGAGCAACCUCCCGACUUUGAAGAUAGUGAGUACCCUAACCAUGUGUAUAAACUCUCUAAGGCGCUUUAUGGGCUCAAGCAAGCCCCAAGAUCAUGGUAUGAAUGCCUAAGAGAUUUUCUUAUCGCUAAUGGCUUCAAAGUCGGAAAAGCCGAUCCUACUCUCUUUACUAAAACAAUUGCAAAUGAUUUGUUUGUAUGCCAAAUUUAUGUUGAUGAUAUUAUAUUUGGGUCUACUAACAAAUCUACAUUUGAAGAGUUUAGUAGAUAAUGGUACAAAAAUUCGAGAUGUCUAUGAUGGGGGAGUUGAAGUAUUUCUUAGGAUUUCAAGUGAAGCAACUCCAAGAGGGCAUCUUCAUCAGUCAAACGAAGUACAUUCAAGACAUACUCACCAAGUUUGGGAUGAAGGAUGCCAAGCCUAUCAAGACACCCAUGGGAACCAAUGGGCAUCUUGACCUCGACACGAGAGGUAAAUCCAUAGAUCAAAAGGUAUACCGGUCGAUGAUAGGAUCUUUACUCUAUUUAUGUGCAUCUCGACCGGAUAUUAUGCUUUUCAUAUGCAUGUGUGCAAGAUUCCAAGCCGAUCCUAAGGAAGUUCACCUUAGGGUCGUGAAAUGAAUCUUGAGAUAUUUAGUUCAUACUCCUAAGUUUGGCCUUUGGUACCCCAGGGGAUCCACAUUUGAUUUAAUAGGAUAUUUAGAUGCUGAUUGGGCAGGGUGUAAAAUUGAUAGAAAGAGCACAUCAGGGACUUGUUAGUUCUUGGGAAGAUCCCUGGUGUCAUAGGCUUCAAAGAAGCAAAAUUUUGUAUCUCUUUCUACCACCGAAGCCGAGUACAUUACCGCAGGCCAUUGUUGCGCGCAAUUGCUUUGGAUGAGGCAAACCCUUAGGGACUAUGGUUACAAAUUAACCAAAGUUCCGCUCCUAUGUGAUAAUGAGAGUGCAAUCCACAUGGUGGAUAAUCCCGUUGAGCACAACCGCACUAAGCACAUAGCCAUUCGGUAUCACUUUUUGAGGGAUCACCAACAAAAGGGGGAUAUCGAGAUUGUUUAUAUUAACACCAAAGAACAAUUAGCCGAUAUCUUUACCAAUGUUGGGGACUUGUUCUCAAAUGCUAUGAGUUAAGAACAAGGCAACACAAGAAAUGUUAAACGUUAAUGCCCUUCGUCCUUCGAGACAUUAUUUCCCUUAGGAUAUAAUGAUCUUCAGACGAAGGUCAUGAAGGACAUACCUUCAUCAUUGCAAUAUACGAUAAUAAAAGGAGAAUCAUAUAGAAUGUAAGAGACAACAUGAAUAAGUAUGUAAUAUUAUCAGCACAUUUCUAUUUUAUUAUCAUGGACAAAUAGAAAUGAUAUCAAAUUACAAAUGUACCUUCAGCUUGAUGGAAGGUAAAAGUACAAGUGUGACGCACGAUCAAAUACAAGUCAGCGUGAACAGUACGGGAGCACUGUUCAUCUAUUUAUAGGCACGGGACACAGCCCAUGUAAAAUUACACCCAUGCCUUUUACAUUUGCUAAUGACUCUAUAGUGAUCCAUCGAGGUCUAAAUGACCUUUUCCCUUUUAAGUCGGUUCCCUUUUCCGCUGUUAUGCCAAAGCUCCCUUGCGCGUAGCUUCGGCGCUACGUCAACCUUCGUAUUCUUUGUGCUUCUCACACUGUGGUUCUGAUCCGAGUCCGAAGGUACCUGUUCAUGUAUCAUACUCCAGAAAUAAUGUUAAAUCAUGUUUUUGAAGACCUUCGGAAGACGAAGGCCCCCAACAGUAGCCCCUCGCAAUAUUAAUUUGUUAGAAUAACGAAUUCAAAUUGCGAUAUGGACGAAGGCCUUAAGCCAAAAUUCUGAAAAAACACCUUCCCUUUGCUAGAAUAGCAACAGUCGAUGACAGACGGGGCCCUCCAAUUUGGAACGCACUGGGCGUAUAAAUAGGAACUCACCCCGAGCACAUUUGGUACGCUAUCUGCCGCCUGCUUUGCUUGCUCAAUUUUUUAGCUCUUGCCUACCAACGCUUGCUUGGUUUUUUAGACUUUCUAAGCUUCGGCUUUAAGGACACAUUUUCGCCAUUUCCGAAGAGAAGAUGUCUCAAGACAAAAAAGUUGUUGCUGAGACGAAGCUGAGCGAAGAGGAGAAGCUCCAUGAGGAGAAGACUGCUGGAUUUGUUGAAUCAAUAGCAAAGAAAAAUACAGAAAAGAUUACUAAGGAGAUUCUAGAAGGCUUAUCUGAAGAUACUGAUGACAGCGACAGUUAUGAUGCGGAAAGCGGAGGCGAAGACUCCGAAGAUCGGCCCUGGCGACCAAGCAUGCAGUCUUCGGGAAAUCAACCAUCAAACAGAGUCAUCUUGAUAAUAUGAGAGGAAGGUAUUUUCGAUAUUAUUUUUUUGUUCUUAUAUUAACCCAUUCAUUCUUUUCAUAUAGGGUUUAAUACUUAGCAACGCCUUAAGGGCGCAAAAGAAUGUCGAAGACGAGAGUUGCACUAUUGCUCUCAACAACCUUCAAACAGAGGUUAUCAAGCUGAGGAACGAAGCUUUGGAAAAAGAAAAAAUUCUACUUACAUUGGUGGACAAAGUAAAGGGGGAUGAAGCUAACUUCAAGGCUCAAUCUGAAAUCCAAAGGAAUGAGAUUGAAAACCUUCAAAAACAACUGGCCGAAGCCAAAUUGAAAUGCGCUAUUGCCGAAGCUGACCGAGUUGCCAGUGAGUACUAGAAAAAUUAUCUUGAAAAACAGUUGCAGAGCUUCGCUCAUCAAAAGAAAGAUGUUUUGAAAAAUCUGUGGAAUGCGUGAAAAAGAUAAAAACUAGCUUUGCCAACGUUGGCGCAUAUUCAAGCGAAGAUAACUUCAUACGGGGCGACCCCGAAGGCGUAAUCGAGUGGAUCAGCGGUGAGGCCGAAGCCUUUGAAGAGAUUUUGAGUGACCGCGGGGACGUCUGUGCCUUCUCUGGUGCGAGAGGAAUUGCAGCUAUUUUGGAGAAAGCAGGGUGCGAACAUGUUAAAACUUUGGCCCAGGCCGAAGCUGCCUUCUCCACCGAUGAUAUAAAGGACCCCUCGGCCGAAGCAAACUCAAUAGGUGGAAAAAAUUUCACUGAUAUCUGGGAAAACGGUGGCCGAGGGAUGGCCCAUGAAAUUAUAAAGAAAAACGAAAAAGAUAUUCACGACACUCGAGAGUCAAUAAAAGAAGCUGAAAAGGCUGCGGAGCUUGAGAGACGAAUAUGUAUUACUUAAUGGUUUUUAACUUUGUUGUUUAUUUUUGUGACUUUGAACUGAUUUAUGUUUUCUACCUUAGCUGAACUAUCUCCUCCCCCAGCGCCCUUAGAGUCAUUGGCCGACCCAGAGGCAAAGGAAUCAACAGAACUUAUUAACAUGGCCGAAACUAUUGUAGACGAAGUCGUUACCCAACUGCUGACCGAAUUUGCACAUAAAGUUUUGAAGGAAGAAGAGUAGCUAUUGUAAAAACAUUGCUAGAAUAUUAAUGUAACAUUUGCCGGACUAUGCUUGUAAUAUUUGGUGCUCCUAGGUUUUGAAUGUAAUAUAUGAAUGGUUUUGUAAUUCAUUUCUUUGCGAUGCAUGAAACUUUUAUGUACAUACCGUUUUUGAGCCUUCGGCGAAAAAACACCUUCCCUUCUUUUCAUGUUCGUAAAGAAGAGCUUUUAUGCUUCGUAAAAAAUCCUCCAAUCGUCGCAAAAACAUUAAUGCUUCGUCAACAACAGAUUUUUCCUCCACAUCAGAGCUGAUGAAGCUGUAUUUCUUCAAAACUUAUUUUGUGCCUUAGCACAAUUUCACUUUUUUCGAAGCAUUCUUCGAAGGUCAACAUUGUAUCCCCUUCUUGUGCCAUUGAUGCAAUAUGAUGUAUGAUGUUAUGUUAUGUGAAAUGAUGUGAUGAUGUUAUGUUAUGCAAAAUGAUGUUUAUGCCGAAGACACACACUCACACCCCCAUAGUGGAAUACACAAUCUCUUUGCCGCUUAUUUUUCGGCUUCACCGCUUAUUUUUCGGUGUAUCAGCGCUGACUUUUCACUGUAAGUUCUGCAUUCCCUUAGGAACGUCUUUUGAACUUCUUCACCUUCUAUUUCGGCGGUAUUCGCGUUGACUUUUCGCGCUUCGCCUUAUAUUUCGGCGGUAUUUGGCUCUGCAUUCCCUUUGGAAUGACUUUUGAGCAGAAAACUUACACUGCGCUCCCUUAGGAACGACUUUUUGUAGCUUCGGCAAACUUACGCUGCGUUCCUUAGAACGACUUUUUUGUGGCUUCGGUGAUACUUGUAAUGUGAUUUUUAGCCCCGCGUUCCCUUAGGAACGACUUUUGUGCUUCAGUGACUUUUUGAACUUCGUGAGUCUGUGGAGAAGAUAUAUUUCACUAUGGCAAGAACGAAGUUAUUACAAGAAAUCAAGAGAGCUAGGUUUUCAAUAAUUGUUCCUUAUUAAAAAGGAAGUGAUAAUGAAUGUAAAAACUGCUUCAGGGGUAGGAUAUCUCUCAAUAGAUAUGCUUCGAUUCUAGCACAGUACUGUUGGCUGUGCGAGCUUCGGACUCCUCCCUGAAAUCUCGUUGCUGAUGGGUCUGUUGGCUCCCUUCUGGCUGCUGGCCUCGUGAAUAUGCAGGUUGUAGUGGUGGCAGAGGUGGAGGCUGUGGCCAAGAUGCAUGUGGCUGGCUAGCCGAAGCAACAGAAGCUGCAGGAUGGUUACCCACAUACUCUGGUAUGUAGGGUGAGUGAUACGAAGCAGUGUGCAUGACCUGCUUCGGCUGGUUCUGCUGAGCUGCGGCUUCUGCUAAUUCCUUUUGUUUCUGAAUGGUGACAUGGCACAUCCUUGUAGUAUGGCCCUUGUCCUCACCACAGAAUAAGCAAUUUUCCUAGGUUGAUCCCCAAACCUUCCUCCGAAGCCCCUGGCACCUCUGCCUCUUGGAGUUGGCGGCCGAAAAUAGGUUUGUUGCUGCCCCGAAACUUGCGAGGAAUAUUGUGGCUUCUGUUGCUGACUUCCUCUGUCGUCAUUCUGGGUGGAGUGGAUUGAUCUGACAUGCCUUGGGUGGAUUCUUCCUCCGAAGCCCCUGGUCAUCUCAGAGAACCUGUAGGCUUCCUCCCUUCUUUGGCGAAAGUCAUUGUCAGCCCGGAUGUAUUCAUCCAUCUUUUGAAGCAGCUUCUCCAAAGUCUGUGGAGGCUUUCUAGCAAAAUACUGGGCAGUAGGUCCUGGAUGAAGCCCCUUGAUCAUGGCCUCAAUGACAAUUUCAUUGGGCACAGUAGGCACUUGUGCUCUCAGACGCAAGAACCUUCAGACGUAUGCCUGGAGAUACUCCUCAUGAUCUUGCGUGCAUUGAAACAGAGCCUGAGCUGUGACUGGCUUCGUCUGAAAGCCCUGGAAACUUGUCACCAGCAUGUCCUUGAGCUUCUGCCAUGAAGUGAUGGUCCCUGGCCGAAGAGAAGAAUACCACGUUUGAGCCACAUUCUUAACUGCCAUGACGAAGGACUUGGCCAUGACAGCUGCAUUGCCUCCGUAUGAAGAUAUAGUUGCUUCAUAACUCAUCAAAAACUGCUUCGGGUCUGAAUGCCCAUCAUACAUUGGAAGCUGAGGUGGCUUGUAUGAUGGGGGCCACGGGAUAGCCUGCAGUUCUGCUGCCAAGGGAGAAGCAUCAUCAAAAGUAAAGGUAUCAUGAUUAAAAUCAUCAUACCAUCCAUCGUCGUUGAACAAGCCCUCUUGAUGAAGCUCCCUGUGUUGGGGCCUUCGAUCUUGCUCGUCUUGAGCAAGGUGGCGUACUUCUUCAGUGGCUUCGUCAAUCUGCCUUUGAAGGUCAGCUUGUCGGGCCAUCUUCUCCUUCUUCUUUUGCACUUGCUGAUGAAGCAUCUCCAUGUUUCUGAUUUCUUGGUCCAACUCGUCCACCUGGGGUGUUGGACUAGUGGCCUUCCUCUUCUGGCUUCGGGCCUCUCGAAGAGAAAGGGUCUCCUGAUUUGGGUCCAGUGGCUGCAGAGCGGCAGCCCCUAGCGCUGAAACUUUCUUCGGUGGCAUGACGAAGGUCAAUGCUUGCCGAAGGUGGUCGAAAAGAGUUCACCCCACGGUGGGCGCCAAUGUUGGGGACUUGUUCUCAAAUGCUAUGAGUUAGGAACAAGGCAACAUAAGAAAUGUUAAACGUUAAUGCCCUUCGUCCUUCGAGACAUUAUUUCCCUUAGGAUAUAAUGAUCUUCAGACGAAGGUCAUGAAGGACAUACCUUCAUCAUUGCAAUAUACGAUAAUAAAAGGAGAAUCAUAUAGAAUGUAAGAGACAACAUGAAUAAGUAUGUAAUAUUAUCAGCACAUUUCUAUUUUAUUAUCAUGGACAAAUAGAAAUGAUAUCAAAUUACAAAUGUACCUUCAGCUUGAUGGAAGGUAAAAGUACAAGUGUGACACACGAUCAAAUACAAGUCAGCGUGAACAGUACGGGAGCACUGUUCAUCUAUUUAUAGGCACGGGACACAGCCCAUGUAAAAUUACACCCAUGCCCUUUACAUUUGCUAAUGACUCUAUAGUGAUCCAUCGAGGUCUAAAUGGCCUUUUCCCUUUUAAGUCAGUUCCCUUUUCCGCUGUUAUGCCGAAGCUCCCUUGUGCGUAGCUUCAGCGCUACGUCAACCUUCGUAUUCUUUGUGCUUCUCACACUGUGGUUCUGAUCCGAGUCCGAAGGUACCUGUUCAUGUAUCAUACUCCAGAAACAUUGUUAAAUCAUGUUUUUGAGGACCUUCGGAAGACGAAGGCCCCCGACAACCAAGCCACUAGAUGAGAAAACUUUUACCAAUCUUAGGCAUGAGCUAAACAUUCUAGAUUCUAGGAAUUUUGAUUGAUAUUUUGCACACAUAGCUUAUUUCAAUACCUUUGAUCAUAUCUCUUUCAUGUGCUAUGACUAAUGUGGUUUUCAAGUAUAUUUCAUGCUAAGUCAUAGAUUGAAAGGAAAAUGGAGUCUUCGGCGAAGAAAAGGCUUCCACUCCAUCGAAUUAUUCAUCCUUCGCCGACACUCCACAUCGCUCUCCAAUUUGGUAUAAUCUUCACUCCUACAUUAUUUACCAAAGGGGGAGAAAGUUUGAAAAAGGGCUUAUAUUUUCACUCACAAGUAUCCGUUUUUGGCGAUUCAUGCCAAAGGGGGAGAAAGUAUUAGCCCAAAGCAAAAGGACCGCACCACCACCAAUUUCAAAAAUGAAGUCUUUUAAAUUUGUACUAAAAGAAGGUUUUUCAAUUGGUAUCUUAUUUUUGAUAGAAUUUUCAAAUUGGUAUAACCCAUUUCAAAAUUAAUAUCUAAAACUCUCUUGAACAAUAAGAGGAGAAUUUCAUUAAGGGGGAGUUUUGUUUAGUCAAAGGAAAAGCAUUUGAAACAGGGGGAGAAAAUUUCAAAUCUUAAAAAUGCUUCUCAAAAUCUUACUCAUUUACCUUUGACUACUUGCAAAAAGACUUUGAAAAGAAUUUCCAAAAGAGUUUGCAAAAACAAAACAAGUGCUGCAAGCGUGGUCCAAAAUGUUAAAAUAGAAGAAAGCAUCCAUGCAUAUCUUAUAAAAUGUAUAUUGGUUUAAUUCCAAGUAACCUUUGCACUUUCAUUAUGCAAACUAGUUCAAUUCUGCAAUUAUAUAUUUGCUUUGGUUUGUGUUGGCAUCAAUCAUCAAAAAGGGGGAGAUUGAAAGGGAAAUAGGCUUACACCUUUUCCUAAAUGGUUUUGGUGGUUGAAUUGCCCAACGCAAAUAAUUGGACUAACUAGUUUGCUCUAGAUUAUAAGUUCUACAUGUGCCAGAGGUUCAACACAAACCAAUAAAAAGUCCAAGAAAGGGUUCAAAUAAAAAGAGCAAAAGACAACCGAAUGCUGCCCUGGUCUGGCGCACCGGACAGUGUCCGGUGCACCAGGGAGAUUCACUCCAAACUUGCCACCUUUGGGAAUUUGGGAAGCCACUCCGCUAUAAUUCACCGGACUGUCCGGUGUAGCACCGGACUGUCCAGUGUGCCAAGCGGAGCAACGGUCGUUAGCGCAACGGUCGAGUUGAACGGUCGGCUCACAACGCUACAGUGCGCGUACUGCGCGCGCAGAAGUUAGAGCAGGUGCAGAUGGCGCAUCGGACAGUGAACAGGACCUGUCCGGUGCACCACCGGACUAUCCGGUGGCCCACAUGUCAGAAGCUCCAACGGUCGAACCCUAACGGUUGGGUGACGUGGCUGGCGCACCGGACAGUGGCCGGUGGCGCACCGGACUGUCCGGUGCGCCCAUCGACAGUAGAGUUCCCCAACGGCCACUUUGGUGGUUGGGGCUAUAAAUACCCCCCAACCACCACACUUCAAUGCAUCCAAGUUUUCAGCCAUCAAACCUCAUACAAGAGCUCUAUACUUCAUUCCAAGACACAAACAAAGAGAUCAAAUCCUCUCCCAAGUCCGGAAUCACUUCAAACAAAUUAGUGACUAGAGAGAGAGACUUUUGUGUUCUUUUGAGCUCUUGCGCUUGGAUCGCUUUUCUUCUUCCUCCUUUCUUGUUCUCAACUCAAUUGUAAUCAAAGCAAGAGACACCAAGUUGUGGUGGUCCUUGUAGUGGACUAAGUGUCCUGUUUGAUUGAAGAGAAAAGCUCACUCAGUCUAGGUGACCGUUUGAGAGAGGGAAAGGGUUGAAAGAGACCCGGUCUUUGUGACCACCUCAACGGGGAGUAGGUUUGCAAGAACCGAACCUCGGUAAAACAAAUCAUCGUGUUCAUUCGUUUUAUUUCUUUGUUGAUUUGUUUUCCCUCUCUUUCGGACUCGAUUAUAUUUUUAACGCUAACCCCGACUUGUUGUUGUGCUUAAACUUUAUAAAUUUCAGAUUUGCCUAUUCACCCCCCCUUUAGGUGACUUUUAGUCUCAACACCUCCUCUCUCGUACGAUGCGCUUUACCAUGGAAGAUCCACCGAGUAUAGUCUGGCGUAAAUCUGAUCUUCCAAAUAUGUUCUACCAUGGCCUUCUUUGAUUUUCUUUUCCGGUUGGCACAUUUGCUGCACGGGCAUGGGACUAGACUCGCUCCUUUAGCAGCUUUGCCAUAUGCCCGUUCCACAAAAGCAUCGGUCUUUCUAAUCCAUUCAGGGGUGACAUCAUUCCUACUUACACGGCAUGUGUACAUCCACUCACGGUCUUCCAUCCUCUAACAUAUGUAACCGAGUAUAGUUUAAUAUAAACAUGUAAUGCAUGUACGCUAUGUUCCUACCUUAUAAUAGGUGAGUAUAGUUCUUAAUCUCACUCGCGGUUGCGUAGACGAAGUUAGUUUCCAUGCUCUACUUCGAUCCAAGACAGAGUUCCGGCAGCACCUCCCCGUUGUUCUCCGGAUACACGCCCUAGCAGGUAGAAUGUACUGUCCGGAGAUCAACAUGGAGGUGAAACCGAAACUCUGUCUCGGACCGGAGUAGAGCAUGGAAACUAAUACCAGGGCGACGGUGGAGUAGGGAUAGCGGGGCUGUGGCGGGUCGGUGCAGUGGCGACGUGUCGCAGUGCAGGUUCUAGUGUGGCGGCAAGGAAUACCUCUGCAAAAAAAAAUUAACACAAGUUUAUCAACAAAAAAAUCGGCAGGACUUCCCCUGCACGAGGAGGUUGCAAAAAACCAGCAAAUAAAACUAACAGCACGAUGGCUGACAUCCACACAUAUACUAGCAAAAAAUAGACUUGCGUGUGUUAUUUACAAUUGUGUUAGUUACACACAAUCUAUUGAUGCCAUAUUUGUUGUGUACUAGCGAUUGGCAAGAAGAAUCAACUUUUAGGCACUAAAACAUCUAGUGGGUUCAAAUUAAAGAACUUCUUCUAUUAAUUACAGAACCACCCCAUCGGCCGACCAGGAUCCAAAUUAAAGAACUUCUUCUUCUAUUAAUUAUAGUAUAUUAUAAUUACCAAGUCUCUUCUUAUAUUUACAUGUUCAUUUGCUUGCUUCUUGCAUAACAUAACGGCGAUCGAUGAUGACCAUCGUUAGUUUUAGUCCUACGUGUAUUUGAUUCAAUCCCUCCAUGUUCAUAGUAUAAAUUCAACCAAACCUAAAUAAGUUUCAGUCAGCUUGAUCUUAAAAUUGCAUCAUACACACACAUACAUAGUCUUACUAGAAGUAAGCAAUUUCUUUUAAACUAAUUUCCAGCCAACAUUGAUGAAUGAACUAGAAUGUGGCUAUAACCGAGACCUGUGUGGGUGGUGCUGGAGAUGGGGACGUUGGGCCGAGGCUCACCGGCGUCGAGGCCUGUCCGAAGAUGGCCGACCGCCAGGCCGGGGACGGGGCUCGUUGGAGAUGGCCGGGUCGAGCGACGGUGGGGACGUCGGAGGCAGGGAGGAUGGCCGGCACGGUGUCCGGAGCCGGAGGGGAUGACCGGAGAGGAGGAUGGUCGGCGCUUGCUCCGAUGGCGUUGGCGGCGAGUGGCGUUGGCGGAGGGGACGACUGGUUAGGGCUAUGUACACAGACUUUGCCGAGUGCCAUAUCACGGGCACUCGGCAAAGAUUUUUUUUAAAUUUAAAAAUAAACUUUGCCGAGUGUCACAGAUCACUGACAGGCACUUGGCAAAGAUUGUUUUAAUUUUUUUAAAAAAACUUUACAGAGUGUCCCACGGCAGGCACUCGACAAAGAAUGCUUUACUGACUGCCUUAUUUUGACACUCGACAAAGAAUUCUUUGCCAAGUGCCCGAUAAAAAGCACUUGGCAAAGCACCGAGCACUCGGCAAAGAGCCGGAUUCCGGUGUGGUUGUUUCAUGGAAGUUGUAAGUAGACCAUCUUAACAAGGUCAACAAUAGAAGUACAACUCACAACAUUAGAUACUGCCAAAGUUAAUGUUGAGAGGCUUCGUGAACUCCUUAUGGAUUUACUAGUAGUUGAAAAACCAAUACUGGUUAUCUAUAUGAGCUAUAAUAAUUAAACAUUGGUAAUCAAAGUGAACAAUUCUUAGGUUAACAUGAAGACUACAAAGCAUGUCAAGAACGGUUGAAACUGUUAAAACACUAAGAAACUCUAGAUUAAUUGUGUUGGACUAUGUCCAUACUUCUAAGAAUUUGGUAUGCCAGUUUAUAGAAGAUUUGUCACAUAAUGUGAUAGAUGGUGCAUCGAGAAAGAUGGACUUGAGACCCACUUAAUGCCAUUCCAUAGUAGUAGCAUUUUCUAUGUGAUUGGAGAUCUCAUGAAGUAAAAUGGUGAAAUAAGCUAGAGAAUGACUGAUGGAGAGACUCCUUAAAUAAAAUCUAGGUAAUUUCAUAUGAACAUUUCUCCUUCGAUGUACGAUAGGCUAACUAAAAUCUUAAUAUGAUUUGAGUGACAUAUCUAAGCAGGGAUGUUAUCUUAUAGAACAUCCUAUAAGGAACACACCUAUAUGACUUUGACUACUAAUCACAGUCUAUGAUAUGUGGGAAAUAUUUUUUUACUCAUGAAAGGCCUCGAAGUUUGACUUAUAUGCUUCAAACCAAUGGAUAACUGAUUGAAUCUGUUUCAGACAGCAGCAUAGUUAACUUCAAAAUUCUAUAUCUCCCAAACUUCUCAACCAAAAAUUAUUAAAUUAUGCUGACAGUAAGAACUUUUAUCCCUCUACAAAAGUCUCCAUAGUUGGAAGAGCCAAUUCGGCCAUUUACUAGAUGAAACCUACCAGUUAACAGACCCGCUCAUUUUUGUCAGGCAAACAAGAACCCUUAUAUAUCAAAGAGUAGUGGAUUUGAAUUUGUCUAAUAUGAAGUUUAUGGGCUUGGAUCAUUUAAAGUAUUUUAUAAUUCUGAAAGACAAGAUUAAACUAACUAUGUAUGAUCCUUUAGCACCGUACAGAUGGUCGAUGGGACAGUUACAUGGUUUAUAUAGAUGGACCUAUCUAUAUUCCUUCAGUGGUUGAGAACAAGGUAAAGGUGUGUCACACUCACGCGUGCGCCGCCUCCGCCGAGACGAGGCAUGGCGUUGCAGGGUGAGGCAUGGCAUGGUGCAGCACGAUCGCAGUCAUGGUCGUGGCACAGUGUAGCACUGUUGUGGAUAGAUAGAUAAACUAUUGUUGUAGUUAGAGUGCAUGAGUUUUUGAAUGCAACACUAGAAUUUUCACAAUUUAACUUAAUUAAGAAGUUAUAUCUUGAUGACACAGAGUUACCUGACCAUUGAUCUCACAUGCCCUUUUAGCUCUCUCGUACUCUAGACUUACCCUGACUAUUUAGGUCUCCUGACUCGCCAAUAUAAACACCAUCCUAUCAUUUGCUGUCGAAUACUUCUGUGUCACAACUCAACUGUCAGAUGAGUACUCCAUUACAGCACUGAGCAGGCCUCCGAAAUGAAUAUCUACUCAGAUGAAGGACGACAAUCGUGUUCUAGGGAAAUAUCAGCGACACAACUCCUUACUUCCUCCGCUUCUUCCUAGUGUUUUUUGUUGUGAUUGAGUCGACAUAGCAACAACACUGCACUAUUACAACCAGUACGACUAUAUCAACUAGCAAUGUCUUCCUUAUAUGUUACUAUUUAUUUUGCUCAUAUUCAUUAUGUUUAAAUCACAUAGGCGCCUUUAUGUUGGCAUCAAAAAAUCAGUAUCAACUUUAUAGAUUAAAAUGAAACUAAAAGUACCUAAAUUUCUAUCGGUGGGGAUCGAGUGAUUCUUUAAACCGAUUAUUACACAAGUUAACCACACUAAAAUUAACAAUGGUGAAUCGUGCCAUGAUUUUUUUCUAGUGGAAAAUAGCCAAACCAAGCAACACAUAUGUGGCUAUCGUUACACAUGUGUAAAGGUAUUGCAUCACACCAUUGUCACCCAUGUAUGUGGACAAUACCGAGAGGAAAAACCACUUAUUUAUUGUAUUUUAUCAAGUUUGUCUUGCUUACGUAUAAAUUAUAACCCAACAAAGUAAUCACUAAAUGUCAAAACCAACUAGAUACCAUGUCAUCUCUACCUUAUCUUACUAAUAUUCUUUUUGCAAAAUCCAAAAUUAAUCUUGCACAAGCACAAGGACUGAGAUGUGUAUAAAUAUCUCUUAAAUUAGUAGCUAAUAUAUCGCACAUAUUAUUGAGACCAACUAGCAACAUAGAAAGCACAAUAGUGUACCAACAAUGGCAGCCAAAAUAUUUUGCCUCCUUAUGCUCCUUGGUCUUUCUGCAAGUGCUGCUACGGCGACCAUUUUCCCGCAAUGCUCGCAAGCUCCUAUAGCUUCCCUUCUUCCCCCGUACCUCUCACCAGCGGUGUCUUCGGUAUGUGAAAACCCAAUUCUUCAACCCUACAGGAUCCAACAGGCAAUCGCAGCUGGCAUCUUACCUUUAUCACCCUUGUUCCUCCAACAAUCAUCAGCCCUAUUACAACAGUUACCUUUGGUGCAUUUAUUGGCACAAAACAUCAGGGCACAACAACUACAACAACUUGUGCUAGCAAACCUUGCUGCCUACUCUCAGCAACAGCAGUUUCUUCCAUUCAACCAACUAGGUUCAUUGAACUCUGCUUCUUAUUUGCAACAACAACAACUACCAUUCAGCCAGCUACCUGCUGCCUACCCCCAGCAAUUUCUUCCAUUCAACCAACUAGCAGCAUUGAACUCUCCUGCUUAUUUACAGCAGCAACAACUACUACCAUUCAGCCAGCUAGCUGGUGUGAGCCCUGCUACCUUCUUGACACAACCACAGUUGUUGCCGUUCUACCAGCACGUUGCGCCUAACGCUGGCACCCUCUUACAACUGCAACAAUUGCUGCCAUUCAACCAACUUGCUUUGACAAACCCAGCAGUGUUCUACCAACAACCCAUCAUUGGUGGUGCCCUCUUUUAGAUUUCUUAUGAGUUAUAGUUCAAUAAUAAAGUUUUUUAUCUGAUGUUUGUGGCUUCCCAGAAAUAAGAAAGUACAUUUCUAGAUUCUUAUGUGCUUCUAGUCUUCAAAUGUGGUUGAUAGUUAUUGUUGGGGACUUGUUCUCAAAUGCUAAGAGUUAAGAACAAGGCAACAUAAAAAUGUUAAAUGCUAAAGUCCUUCGUCCUUCGAAGCAUUAUUUCCCUUAGGAUAUAAUGAAUUUCGGACGAAGGCUAUGAAGGACAUACCUUCAUAAGCACAACGAAUGAUGAAGAAGAAUUCAUAUAAAUUAUGAGAUAUAACAUAAACAUUUAAACAUUAUUAUUAACUCAUUUCUAUUGACUUGUCAGGGAAAAAUAGAAAUGAUAAUAAAUUACAAAUAUACCUUCGGCUUGAGAGAAGGUAAAGGUACAAGCGUGAGGCAAAAGCAAAUGCCAAGUCAGCGUGAACAGUACGGGAACACUGUUCAUCUAUUUAUAGGCACGGGACGCAGCCCAUGCAAAAUUACAUCCAGGCCCUUUGCUUUUGACAAUAACUCUAUAGUAAUCUAUCUGGGUCUAGAUAGUCUUUUCCUCUUUAAGUCGGUUUCCUCUUUUCUGCCAUCAUACCGAAGCUCCCUUGCGCACAGCUUCGGCUCUGCUCCAUCCUUCGUAUUGUUUCCGUGCUUCUUCAUACCGUGGGCUCUUGUUCGAAGAUCCCUAUCCACACAUUAUACUCCAGAGGCAUUGUUAAAUCAUGUUUUUGAGGACCUUCGGAAGUCGAAGGCCCCCAACAGUAGCCCCUCGCAAUAUUAAUUUAUUAGAAUGAUAAAUUUAGAUCGCGACAUGGACGAAGGCCUUAAGCCGAAGGUCCGAAAAAACACCUUCCCUUUGCUAGAAUAGCAACAAUCAAUGACAAGCGGGGCCCUUUCCCUUGCAACACACUAGGCGUAUAAAUAAGAGCAUACCGCGAGCGGAUUUGGCACGCUUUUUGCCAUCUGCUCUUGCUCACCCAACUUUUAGCCCUUGCACACCAACACCUGCUUGGCCUUUUUUUAAAAAAAUUUAAGCUUCGGUUUCGAGAGCACUUUCUCAGCAUUUUCGAAGAUGUCUGAAGAUAAGAAAGUUGUCGCUGAGUCGAAGCUGAGACUUUCUGAGGAGAUGAAUCUCGGCUUUCUUGAAUCAAUAGCGAAGACAAAUACAGAGAAGAUUACUAGGGAGAUUUUAGAAGGUUUAUCUGAAGACACUGGUGACAGUGACAGUUAUGAUGUGGAAAGUGGUGGUGAAGAUUCCGAAGAUCGACCCUGGUGACCAAGCCAUGCAGUUUUUGGAAAAUCAAGCAUUAAACUAAGCCAUCUUGUUAAUAUGAGGGGCAGAUAUUUUCGGGAUUUAUCUAUUGUGAGGGCUGAUGAAGGAGAAAAAACUUGUCCUACUCCUGAGGAAAAUGAAGUCGUGAUAUUCCGAAGCUUCUUCAAGGCUGGGCUUCGGUUUCCUUUAAGCGGUUUCGUGGUUGAAGUUUUGAAGAUUUUUGAAAUCUACCUCCAUCAAAUUACUCCUGAAGCAAUCAUAAGGAUGGGAAUCUUCGUAUGGGCUGUGAAGAGCCAAGGUUUGGAGCCGAAUGCAAAAAGUUUCUGCAAUAUGCAUGAGCUAUUAUACGAGACGAAACCUUGGGGUAAAGAGAAAUAUCAUAACAAUUUUGGCUGCUACAGCUUCGGCGCCCGCUCUGGGUCAAGCUGUCCCGUGCCAACUUUUUGGAAGAGAUGGCCCGGGGACUCGAUGAAGGAAUGGUGUUAUGUAAAAAACGACUUGAAAACGCGAGAAGGUAUUAAAGAUAUCAUCAUGCGCCCCAUCUGGCAGCGUUUCGGCCUUCGGAAACCGAAGGUGGAUAUUGACGAAGCAACCGAAGAAUGCCAGAGGGCCUUCGGCGUAGUUUGCUCUUUCAUCGGGACAAGGGAUUUGAUCCAGGAACAUAUUUCCUUCAGAGUAUGGCCACUUGUAGAAAAGUGGGAAAUGCCGAAGGAAACCAUCAGCAAACCUGAUGAAGUGGACUAGUUAGGUUAAAAUAUACCUUCAGAUAUGGAGAUAAGUUUGUGGAGCCAGAUGAUGACUGGCUGAAAUGUAUUGAGGCCACAAGCGAUGAACUGCUUGGGCCAUAUUCGAAGACAGAAGAUACUGCACUGUCCGCGGCCUUCGGAGGUCGGAAGAAGAGACUCAACCGAGUGUUUGAUGCCAUUGGGUUCGUCUAUCCUGACUACCGUUACCCAACACAGGGUCAGAAAGGGAAAGAUACGACUUCUGUGAAGAAAGUUGCUUCAGCCGCUCCUAGUGAGCCGGCGCCGAAGAGGAAAAAGAUGAAGGUUCUUACGCACCGGCCACGCUAUAUUGAACCGGCCACAGUGCCUGAGUUUGUCGGUGAGACCUCUUCGGCCACCGAAGCCAAGGAGCCGACUCUCCUGCCGAAUAUUGAAGAGCCGGCCAAAAUGCCGGCAAUGGAAAAAAUAGAAGAACCGAGGGCUGAAGAGACAAAGACAUCGGAAAAGAAUGGUUAACGUGCUAAUGCCGAAUAUUGAAGUCCUUCAGCAAGAAUCGAGGUGCUAAUGCCAAUGCCGAUGGCACAAAAAGACCUUACGACAACCCCCAAGAGGAAAAGAAUGGUUAACGUGCUAGAUGUACUGGAAACGAUAAAAUCUUCAAGCUCUACUCCGAAGAUAGCUACUGAAGUUCCAAAGACACAAACUGAGGCCAAAGCUGCCAAAAGUCAAGCGGAAACUGAAACUGGGCUUUCAGAGCCUACCAAGAGGGAAUUCUUGGAAAUUGAAAAAGAAACGGAAAAAGAAUCUGCAGAAGAAACUUUUUCUGAGAAAAUCGUCACACAUAUUCCCGAAGCAUCUUCUGAAGCUUCUGACUAUGUAUUACGUCAUGCUUCGGGUAAAAAUCUGAGCGAAAAAGAAAAAAGAGAAGCUCAAUUCUAUGCGCAAAAAUUGAAAUAUCCAAAAGGGGCGCUGAUAUUCAACGGCAGCGGAGAAGAAGACUUCUUGUAUUGUCUCCCUCAUAGCAAGGAGAUUUCUGUCUGUCGGGAGAUGAGCAAAAGCUUCGGAUUCCCAACAUUAGAAGACGGGCUCUUGGUGUUGUCAAAGGACGAGCUAGCCGACAGCUUAGCGUAUAAUAGUUUAAAGGUGAAGAAAAUGAGAUCUUUGUAUUAUUUCUUGAAACCAAAAUUUUUCAUUUGCUUAAACUUAUUAACGCAUUUUUUUACAGGGUCUUAUACUUAGCAAUGCCCUCAGGGCACAAAAGAAUGACGAAGACGAAGGGUGCGCCAUAGCCCUGAGCAACCUUCGUUCCGAAGUAAUUGAUCUAAGGAACGAAGGUCUCGAAAAAGAUAAAAUAUUACAUUCGUUGGUGAAUAAAAUAAAAGAAGAUGAAGCUACUUUCAAAGCUCAAGCUGAGGCUCAGAAGCACGAAAUUGAGAAUCUUCGGAAACAACUAGCCAGAGCUACAGAAGAAUACACAAUUGAAGAAACAAAACGAGAAAUUAGUGAACAAUGGGCAAAUCAUUUAGAAAAAAACGUUGAAGAGCUUCGUGCGUCCAAGAAAAGGUGUUAUGAAAAAUCUAUAGAAUGUGUUAAGAAAAUAAGAACCAGCUUCACCAACGUUGGCGCGUUUUCAAGUGAAGAAAAUUUCAUGAGGGGUGACCCCGAAAGCCCAAUUGGAUGGAUCAGCCACGAAGCUGAAGCUUUUGAAUAGCCGUGGAGACAUAUGUGCCUUCUCGGGUGCCAGGGGGAUUGCCGCUGUUUUGGAGAAGAAAGGUUGCGAUCACGUGAAAUCCCUGGCACAGACCGAAGCCGUUUUAUCCUCUGAAGACAUAAAAGACCCUUCGGCCGAGGCGAGUUUGGUUGGUGGGAAAUUUUUCACCGACAUCUGGGAAAACGGUGGCCGGGAGAUGGCUCAAGAAAUUAUACGGAGAAGCGAGAAUGGUAUACAUGACGCUAGAAAAGUAGCAGAGGCCGCUGAGAAAAGUGUGGAUCUCGAAGGGCGAAUAGGUAUUAACUAGUAAUUUUUGGCUUUUUGUUGUAACCUUUUGAUUUUGAACUUGUUUACACUUUGUAACAUGGUCGCACCUUCUCCUCCCUCAGAGCCUGCCGAGCCAUCGACAGACCCCCACGUAAAGGGGGAUGACGAGAUUAGAAGAAUGGCUGAAGCUAUCAUGGACAAAGUUGUUGAUCAAUUACUAAACGAAGCUGCAGAAAUAGUUCUAAGGGAAGAUUAGAUGUUAUUGUAAAAACAUUUGGAAUGUAAUAUUUGUUGAACAAUAUGUGUAAUAUUUUGUAACUUUGAAUGUAAUAUAUAAUCUAUUUGUGGUUCAAUUCUUUACGAUGCAUGAAACUUUACAUACAUACCGUUUUUGAGCCUUCGGCGAAAAAACACCUUCCCUUCUUUUCAUGCUUCGUAAAUAAUAUCCGUAUAUCAUAAAAACAUCCAAUUUUCGUAAAAUCAGUAACCAAUAGAUCUUUUUAUUUCAUAAAAACAUCCAAUCUUCGUAAAAUCAGUAACCAAUCUUCGUAAAGGCAUGCUUCUUCAAUAAUUAUUUUUGUGCCUUGGCACUGUUUCUUCGAAACAAUCUCCGAAUAUCAACAUUGAAACCCCCUUCUUGCGUCAUUGAUGCAAUAUGAUGUAUGAUGUUAUGCUAUGCAAAUGAUGUGAUGAUGUGAUGUUAUGCAAAAUGAUAUUUGCCGAAGAUCAACGUUUAUUUUUCACUGCAAGCCUCCCUUAGGAGCUUCUUCGCCUUUUACUUCAGCGGAAUCAGCAUUUAUUUUUCGCUGUAAGCCUCCCUUAGGAGCUUCUUCGCCUUUUACUUUCAGCGGAAUCAGCGUUUAUUUUUUGCUGUAAGCCUCCCUUAGGAGCUUCUUCGCCUUUUACUUUCAGCGGAAUCAGCGUUUAUUUUUCGCUGUAAGCUCUGCAUUCCCUUCGGAACGACUUUUGAGCAGAAAACUUACGCUGCGCUCCCUUAGGAACGACUUUUUGUUAUUUCGGAGAUUCUCCUUGUAACCAUAAAUUCUUAUGCUUCGGCAACUCUGUUAUUUUGUGGAGAAGGUAUAUUUUUACUGUGGCGAAAACGAAGCUAUUACAAGAAAUUGAAAACGACAAAAAGCACUUAGGCUUUCAAUAAUUGUUCCUUAUUAAAAAGAAAAUGAUACUGAAUGUAAAAACUACUGCCGAGGUAGGAUAUUUGUUAGUAAAUAUGCUUCGAUUCUGGCACAGUACUAUUGACUGUGCGAGCUUCGGACUCUUCUCUAAAGUCCCGUUGAAGGUGGAUAUGCUGACUCCCUUCUGGCUGCUGGCUUUGUUGCAUUGGUGGUGGAGGUGGAGGCUGCUGCCAAGAUGCCUGAGGUUGGCUUGCCGAAGCAACAGAAGCUGCAGGGUGGUUGCCUACAUACUCUGGAAUGUAAGGCGAAUGGUAUGAAGCAGUGUGCAUAACUUGCUUCGGCUGGCUCUGUUGGGCUGCAGCUUCUGCUAUCUCCUUUUGUUUCUGGAUGGUAACAUGGCACAUCCUGGUGGUAUGGCCCUUGUCCUCUCCACAGAAUAGGCAAUAGAUCUUCCUGGGCUGAUCCCCAAAUCUUCCUCCGAAGCCCCUGGCACCUCUACCCCUUGGAGCUGGAGGCCGAGGAUAGCUCUGCUGCUGCCCCGAAGCCUGGGAGGAAUAUUGCGGCCUCUGCUGCUGGCUUCCCCUGUCAUCAUUCUGAGUGUUAUGAAUCGAUCUGACAUGUCUAGGGUGAACUCUCCCUCCGAAGCCACUGGCUAUUUUGGAGAACCUGUAAGCUUCCUCCCUUCUCUAUCGGAAGUCGUUGUCAGCGCGGAUGUAUUCGUCCAUCUUCUGAAGCAGUUUCUCCAGAGUCUGAGGGGGCUUCCUGGCAAAGUACUGGGCUGAAGGUCCUGGCCGAAGCCCCUUAAUCAUGGCCUCAAUGACAAUUUCAUUGGGCACUGUUGGUGCUUGUGCCCUCAGGCGUAAGAACCUUCGGACAUACGCCUGAAGAUAUUCUCCGUGGUCUUGGGUGCACUGGAAUAAGUCUUGAGCGGUGACCGGCUUCGUUUGAAACCCUUAGAAACUGGUGAUCAGCAUAUCCUUCAGCUUCUGCCAUGAUGUGAUUGUUCCUGGCCGAAGGGAGGAGUACCAGGUUUGUGCAACAUUCUUGACGGCCAUGACGAAAGACUUCGCCAUGACUGCAAUAUUGCCACCAUAGGAAGAUAUCGUUGCUUCGUAGCUCAUCAGAAACUGCUUCAGAUCUGAGUGUCCGUUGUACAUGGGGAGUUGAGGUGGCUUGUAAGACGGAGGCCAAGGUGUAGCCUGCAGUUCUGGUGAUAGAGGAGAAGCAUCGUCAAAAGCAAAAUUUCCAUGAUGGAAAUCCUCAUACCAGUCAUCCUCGUUGACGAAGCCCUCUUGGUGGAGCUCUCUGUACUGGGGCCUCCGGUUCUAUUCAUCUUGCGUAAGAUGACGAACCUCUUUAGAGGCUUUGUCUAUCUGCCUUUGUAGGUCAGCUAGCCGGGCCAUCUUUUCUUUCUUCUUUUGCACUUGUUGAUGCAGCAUUUCCAUGUUCCUGAUUUCUUGGUCCAAAUCGUCCUCCUGAGGCGUUGGACUGGUGGCCUUCCUCUUCUGGCUUCGGGCUUCCCGAAGAGAGAGAGUCUCCUGGUUCGUGUCCAGCGGCUGCAGAGCCGCAGCCCCUGUUGCUGAAGCUUUCUUUGGCGGCAUGACAAAGGUCGAUGCUUGCCGAAGGUGUUCGAAACUCAAAAAGUGGAAGUGAGUUCACCGGAGGUGGGCACUAAUGUUGGGGACUUGUUCUCAAAUGCUAAGAGUUAAGAACAAGGAAACAUAAAAAUGUUAAAUGCUAAAGUCCUUAGUCCUUCGAAGCAUUAUUUCCCUUAGGAUAUAAUGAAUUUCGGACGAAGGUUAUGAAGGACAUACCUUCAUAAGCACAACGAAUGAUGAAGAAGAAUUCAUAUAAAUUAUGAGAUAUAACAUAAACAUUUAAACAUUAUUAUUAACUCAUUUCUAUUGACUUGUCAGGGAAAAAUAGAAAUGAUAAUAAAUUACAAAUAUACCUUCGGCUUGAGAGAAGGUAAAGGUACAAGCGUGAGGCAAAAGCAAAUGCCAAGUCAGCGUGAAUAGUACGGGAACACUGUUCAUCUAUUUAUAGGCACGGGACGCAGCCCAUGCAAAAUUACAUCCAGGCCCUUUGCUUUUGACAAUAACUCUAUAGUAAUCUAUCUGGGUCUAGAUAGUCUUUUCCUCUUUAAGUCGGUUUCCUCUUUUCUGCCAUCAUGCCGAAGCUCCCUUGCGCACAACUUCUGCUCUGCUCCAUCCUUCGUAUUGUUUCCGUGCUUCUUCAUACCAUGGGCUCUUGUUCGAAGAUCCCUGUCCACACAUUAUACUCCAGAGGCAUUGCUAAAUCAUGUUUUUGAGGACCUUCGGAAGCCGAAGGCCCCCAACAGUUAUUUUGCUCUAAGAUCGGCAGUAAUGAAGUAUAAAUCAUCGUUGUGGUGUGCUACUCGGUUAAUUGAGCAUUAACACACACAAACAUGACGAGGAUGGUAUAAUCUCCAAAAAUGUGUACUUUGUUAGGUGGGACCCUAUAGCCUUGCAGAAUGUGCUAUGUUAGGCAUGCCUGGAAACGUGUGACGCAUACGUUUUGUGAACCUGUUCAUAUUAUAUGUGCUUUUAUAUUAUCGUAUUUUAUUAAAAUACUAAUAUUUAUUACUAGUAAGAUAUAACAUUCUAUCUAGCUUAAAAACUAACCAUAAAUAUUCCAUAAUAACUAGAUUUACCAAACUAAUAUACUAAAUAUACAUAAUAAAUACAAAAUUAACAAGACAAUAAUCAAUAUUUAUGAGCUUAAUAUAUUUAGACAUUAUGGUUGGUCGACGAUAAUCAUGCUAACUUUCCGUAAUUGCUUGAUUGUAAAUAUGCUUAGAAUAAUGCCUCUUUGUUCUACAUGGCAAAUAGGGACCAUUAUGGUGUAACACCCUGGGAUCCACAAACACCCUGAAAUGCUACUAAACUACACAACUAACCUUCAUAUAUUAAAUUUCGACAGCAUCUCCUUUGAAAAUUUGUAUAAACGUGGAAGCAACAGAGUAUAAACAGAUAUGAUGAUAAGGAAACAUAAUAGACAUUAAUAAUCUGCUAGAAAUGGGAAGAUAACCAUAACGACAUAAACUGAAUUAACUAGUGUGCACGGCAUGUUAAAAACAAACAUCGUUGACAAGAAGUUUCUAAUUAAAUCAUGGCUGUGCCUAGGCAGCGUUAUUAUAUGAGUGAAGGUGGACGUGAUGCUACUUCCCUCAUUCCCAACAUGAAUCAAGUACCUGUAUUGAGUAAUGCAAGAGUGAGAUGAAAACAUCUCAGCAAGUAAAUUGUUUUGACGAGAUAUUUAAACCAAAAAAAUUUGAUUUAAUCAACAUUUUAAAGGGAUCACAAUUGAGAUCAGACAUACUUGUAGAUAUAAAACUCAAUAGUCCCAAAAUAACCAAUGCCAUCUCAUUUCCACAAACAACCACAAUAGGUUGUAUAACACUUCCCUGCGUCAUCAAUACCUGCAAAUAUCACUUCAAUGUAUGCAUAGGAAUGCAAUGUUUAAGUCCUCUGCAUUCAUACUUCUUAGAGUAUAAAACCACACCAUCUGCAAAUAUCACUUCAAUGAAUGCAUAUGAAUGCAAUGCAUAUGUCCUCUGCCUUCAUACCUCUAAGGGUAUGAAGACGCAUCGUACCCCUCCUCGGGCAACGUACGAUGCUAAGUUGUACCGGUACGGUCGGACCAUAGGUCACGACAAAACUUCAGAUGCAAGUGAAUCAUGACAUGUAUAUGGCAUGCUGCAUUUAUCAAUAUACUACACUUCCUUCACAUACAAUACAAACCUCAAAUAAUACUUCGUUUACCUUCAGAUACAAUACAAACCUCAAAUAAUACUUCAUUCACCUUCAGGGGUGUUUAUUAAUCUCGUGGGUCAUACUCAAAUCAUCAUCAUCAUCAAUGAUGUUUAAGCAUCAGUAUAAUACAAUCAAGUAAAGCAUCACCAUAGAGUUCAAUUAUGAAAGAAUUCGAUGAUUCUGAAUAUUAGAGUGUAUGCGAUGAAACAACAAAGUCAAAACGGUAGCAACCACCGCUACAUUCACUUGCCUUCAUCGAAGAAGAAAAAGGUACUAGGCAUGAUUCGGAGUGUAGACACCUGCUGUGGGGCUUAAAACUUAGUACAAAUAUUCCACAAACAUUUGCCAACAACUAACAAAUCGCUCCUACACUUGUAACCAAGACCCGGUGGAAUGACUCCCACCCUGAACCACAUGUCAAACAGCAGGAGUGCUGUUUGUUAAUUUUGUAUCUUUAAAAUUAUAACAGUGGUGAUAUCAAACAAAUACUCUAGAAGUUUCUACACAAAAUACUCUACAACUUCGGUAUUCAAUGGAUAAUUAAAUUUUGCCAUCUAUAAGUUCUAAAACAUCUGACAAGAUAACUGACAGAAUCUGUUUCAGACAGCAGCAUAGUUAACUUCAAAAUUCGAUAUCUCCCAAACUCCUCAACCAAAAUUUAUGAAAUUAUGUUGACAGUAAGAACUUUUAUCCCUCUACAAAAGUCUCCAUAGUUGGAAGAGCCAAUUCGGCCAUUUACUAGAUGAAACCUACCAUUUAACAGACCCGCUCAUUUUUGUCAGGCAAACAAGAACCCUUAUAUAUCAAAGAGUAGUGGAUUUGAAUUUGUCUAAUAUGAAGUUUAUGGGCUUGGAUCAUUUAAAGUAUUUUAUAAUUCUGAAAGACAAGAUUAAACUAACUAUGUAUGAUCCUUUAGCACCGUACAGAUGGUCGAUGGGACAGUUACAUGGUUUAUAUAGAUGGACAUAUCUAUAUUCCUUCAGUGGUUGAGAAAAAGGUAAAGGUGUGUCACACUCACGCGUGCACUGCCUCCGCCGAGACGAGGCAUGGCGUUGCAAGGUGAGGCAUGGCAUGGUGCAGCACGAUCGUAUACAUGGUCGUGGCACAGUGUAGCACUGUUGUGGAUAGAUAGAUAAACUUUUGUUGUAGUUAGAGUGCAUGAGUUUUUGAAUGCAACACAAGAAUUUUCACAAUUUAACUUAAUUAAGAAGUUAUAUCUUGAUGACACAGAGUUACCUGACCAUUGAUCUCACAUGCCCUUUUAGCUCUCUCGUUCUCUAGACUCACCCUGACUAUUUAGGUCUCCUGACUCGCCAAUAUAAACACCAUCCUAUCAUUUGCUCUCGAAUACUUCUGUGUCACAACUCAACUGUCAGAUGAGUACUCCAUUACAGCACUGAGCAGGCCUCCGAAAUGAAUAUCUACUCAGAUGAAGGACGACAAUCGUGUUCUAGGGAAAUAUCAGCGACACAACUCCUUACUUCCUCCGCUUCUUCCUAGUGUUUUUUGUUGUGAUUGAGUCGACAUAGCAACAACACUGCACUAUUACAACCAGUACGACUAUAUCAACUAGCAAUGUCUUCCUUAUAUGUUACUAUUUAUUUUGCUCAUAUUCAUUAUGUUUAAAUCACAUAGGCGCCUUUAUGUUGGCAUCAAAAAAUCAGUAUCAACUUUAUAGAUUAAAAUGAAACUAAAAGUACCUAAAUUUCUAUCGGUGGGGAUCGAGUGAUUCUUUAAACCGAUUAUUACACAAGUUAACCACACUAAAAUUAACAAUGGUGAAUCGUGCCAUGAUUUUUUUCUAGUGGAAAAUAGCCAAACCAAGCAACACAUAUGUGGCUAUCGUUACACAUGUGUAAAGGUAUUGCAUCACACCAUUGUCACCCAUGUAUUUGGACAAUACCGAGAGGAAAAACCACUUAUUUAUUGUAUUAUAUCAAGUUUGUCUUGCUUACGUAUAAAUUAUAACCCAACAAAGUAAUCACUAAAUGUCAAAACCAACUAGAUACCAUGUCAUCUCUACCUUAUCUUACUAAUAUUCUUUUUGCAAAAUCCAAAAUUAAUCUUGCACAAGCACAAGGACUGAGAUGUGUAUAAAUAUCUCUUAAAUUAGUAGCUAAUAUAUCGCACAUAUUAUUGAGACCAACUAGCAACAUAGAAAGCACAAUAGUGUACCAACAAUGGCAGCCAAAAUAUUUUGCCUCCUUAUGCUCCUUGGUCUUUCUGCAAGUGCUGCUACGGCGACCAUUUUCCCGCAAUGCUCGCAAGCUCCUAUAGCUUCCCUUCUUCCCCCGUACCUCUCACCAGCGGUGUCUUCGGUAUGUGAAAACCCAAUUCUUCAACCCUACAGGAUCCAACAGGCAAUCACAGCUGGCAUCUUACCUUUAUCACCCUUGUUCCUCCAACAAUCAUCAGCCCUAUUACAUCAGUUACCUUUGGUGCAUUUAUUGGCACAAAACAUCAGGGCACAACAACUACAACAACUUGUGCUAGCAAACCUUGCUGCCUACUCUCAGCAACAGCAGUUUCUUCCAUUCAACCAACUAGCUGCAUUGAACUCUGCUUCUUAUUUGCAACAACAACAACUACCAUUCAGCCAGCUACCUGCUGCCUACCCCCAGCAAUUUCUUCCAUUCAACCAACUGGCAGCAUUGAACUCUCCUGCUUAUUUACAGCAGCAACAACUACUACCAUUCAGCCAGCUAGCUGGUGUGAGCCCUGCUACCUUCUUGAUACAACCACAGUUGUUGCCGUUCUACCAGCACGCUGCGCCUAACGCUGGCACCCUCUUACAACUGCAACAAUUGCUGCCAUUCAACCAACUUGCUUUGACAAACCCAGCAGCGUUCUACCAACAACCCAUCAUUGGUGGUGCCCUCUUUUAGAUUUCUUAUGAGUUAUAGUUCAAUAAUAAAGUUUUUUGUCUGAUGUUUGUGGCUUCCCAGAAAUAAGAAAGUACAUUUCUAGAUUCUUAUGUGCUUCUAGUCUCCAAAUGUGGUUGAUAGUUAUUUUGCUCUAAGAUCGACAGUAAUGAAGUAUAAAUCAUCGUUGUGGUGUGCUACUCGGUUAAUUGAGCAUUAACACACACAAACAUGACGAGGAUGGUAUAAUCUCCAAAAAUAUGUACUUUGUUAGGUGGGACCCUAUAGCCUUGCAUAAUGUGCUAUGUUAGGCAUGCCUGGAAACGUGUGACGCAUAUGUUUUGUGAACCUGUUGAUAUUAUAUGUGCUUUUAUAUUACCAUAUUUUAUUAAAAUACUAAUAUUUAUUACUAGUAAGAUAUAACAUUCUAUCUAGCUUAAAAACUAACCAUAAAUAUUCCAUAAUAACUAGAUUUACCAAACUAAUAUACUAAAUAUACAUAAUAAAUACAAAAUUAACAAGACAAUAAUCAAUAUUUAUGAGCUUAAUAUAUUUAGACAUUAUGGUUGGUCGACCAUAAUCAUGCUAACUUUUCGUACUUGCUUGAUUGUAAAUAUGCUUAGAAUAAUGCCUCUUUGUUCUACAUGGCAAAUAGGGACCAUUAUGGUGUAACACCCUGGGAACCACAAACACCCCGAAAUGCUACUAAACUACACAACUAACCUUCAUAUAUAAAAUUUCGACAGCAUCUCCUUUGAAAAUUUGCAUAAACGUGGAAGCAACAGAGUAUAAACAGAUAUCAUGAUAAGGAAACAUACUAGACAUUAAUAAUCUGCUAGAAAUGGGAAGAUAACCAUAACGACAUAAACUGAAUUAACUAGUGUGCACAACUUGUUUAAAACAAACAUCAUUGACAAGAAGUUUCUAAUUAAAUCAUGGCUGUGCCUGGGUAGCGUUAUUAUGAGAGUGAAGGUGGACGUGAUGCUACUUCCCUCAUUCCCAACAUGAAUCAAGUACCUGCAUUGAGUAAUGCAAGAGUGAGAUGAAAACAUCUCAGCAAGUAAAUUGUUUUGACGAGAUAUUUAAAGCAAAAAAAUUUGAUUUACUCAACAUUUUAAAGGGAUCACAAUUGAGAUCAGAAAUACUUGUAGAUAUAGAACUCAAUAGUCCCAAAAUAACCAGUGCCAUCUCAUUUCCUCAAACAACCACAAUAGGUUGUAUAACACUUCCCUGCGUCAUCAAUACCUGCAAAUAUCACUUCAAUGUAUGCAUAGGAAUGCAAUGUUUAAGUCCUCUGCAUUCAUACUUCUUAGAGUAUAAAACCACACCAUCUGCAAAUAUCACUUCAAUGAAUGCAUAUGAAUGCAAUGCAUAUGUCCUCUGCCUUCAUACCUCUAAGGGUAUGAAGCCGAAUCGUACCCCUCCUCGGGCAACGUACGAUGCUAAGUUGUACCGUUACGGUCGGACCAUAGGUCACGACAAAACUUCAUAUGCAAGUGAAUCAUGACAUGUAUAUGGCUUGCUGCAUUUAUCAAUAUACUUCACUUCCUUCAUAUACAAUACAAACCUCAAAUAAUACUUCGUUUACCUUCAGAUACAAUACAAACCUCAAAUAAUACUUCAUUCACCUUCAGGGGUGUUUAUUAAUCUCGUGGGUCAUACUCGAAUCAUCAUCAUCAUCAAUGAUGAUUAAGCAUCAGUAUAAUACAAUCAAGUAAAGCAUCACCAUAGAGUUCAAUUAUGAAAGAAUUCGAUGAUUCUGAAUAUUAGAGUGUAUGCGAUGAAACAACAACGUCAAAACGGUAGCAACCACCGCUACAUUCACUUGCCUUCAUCGAAGAAGAAAAACAUACUAGGCAUGAUUCAGAGUGUAGACACCUGCUGUGGGGCUUAAAACUUAGUACAAAUAUUCCACAAACAUUUGCCAACAAUUAACAAAUCGCUCCUACACUUGAAACCAAGACCCGGUGGAAUGACUCCCACCCUGAACCACAUGCCAAACAAUAGUAGUGUUGUUUGUUAAUUUUGUAUCUUUAAAAUUAUAACAGUGGUGAUAUCAAACAAAUACUCCAGAAGUUUCUACACAAAAUACUCUACAACUUUGGUAUUCAAUGGAUAAUUAAAUUUUGCCAUCUAUAAGUUCUAAAACAUCUGAUAAGAUAACUGACUGAAUUUGUUUCAGACAACAGCAUAGUUAACUUCAAAAUUCGAUAUCUCCCAAACUCCUCAACCAAAAAUUAUGAAAUUAUUCUGACAGUAAGAACUUUUUUCCCUCUACAAAAGUAUCUAUAGUUGGAAGAGCCAAUUCGGCCAUUUACUAGAUGAAACCUACCAGUUAACAGACCCGCUCAUUUUUGUCAGGCAAACAAGAACCCUUAUAUAUCAAAGAGUAGUGGAUUUGAAUUUGUCUAAUAUGAAGUUUAUGGGCUUGGAUCAUUUAAAGUAUUUUAUAAUUCUGAAAGACAAGAUUAAACUAACUAUGUAUGAUCCUUUAGCACUGUACAGAUGGUCGAUGGGACAGUUACAUGGUUUAUAUAGAUGGACCUAUCUAUAUUCCUUCAGUGGUUGAGAAAAAGGUAAAGGUGUGUCACACUCACGUGUGCGCCGCCUCUACCGAGAUGAGGCAUGGCGUUGCAAGGUGAGGCAUGGCAUGGUGCAGCACGAUCGUAUACAUGGUCGUGGCACAGUGUAGCACUGUUGUGGAUAGAUAGAUAAACUUUUGUUGUAGUUAGAGUGCAUGAGUUUUUGAAUGCAACACAAGAAUUUUCACAAUUUAACUUAAUUAAGAAGUUAUAUCUUGAUGACACAGAGUUACCUGACCAUUGAUCUCACAUGCCCUUUUAGCUCUCUCGUUCUCUAGACUCACCCUGACUAUUUAGGUCUCCUGACUCGCCAAUAUAAACACCAUCCUAUCAUUUGCUCUCGAAUACUUCUGUGUCACAACUCAACUGUCAGAUGAGUACUCCAUUACAGCACUGAGCAGGCCUCCGAAAUGAAUAUCUACUCAGAUGAAGGACGACAAUCGUGUUCUAGGGAAAUAUCGGUGACACAACUCCUUACUUCCUCCGCUUCUUCCUAGUGUUUUUUGUUGUGAUUGAGUCGACACAGCAACAACACUGCACUAUUACAACCAGUACGACUAUAUUAACUAGCAAUGUCUUCCUUAUAUGUUACUAUUUAUUUUGCUCAUAUUCAUUAUGUUUAAAUCACAUAGGCACCUUUUUGUUGGCAUCAAAAAAUUAGUAUCAACUUUCUAGAUUAAAGUGAAACUAAAAGUACCUAAAUUUCUAUCGGUGGGGAUCGAGUGAUUCUUUAAACCAAUUAUUACGCAAGUUAACCACACUAAAAUUAACAUUGGUGAACCGUGCCAUGAUUUUUUCUAAUGGAAAAUAGCCAAACCAAGCAACACAUAUGUGGCUAUCGUUACACAUGUGUAAAGGUAUUGCAUCACACCAUUGUCACCCAUGUAUUUGGACAAUACCGAGAGGAAAAACCACUUAUUUAUUGUAUUUUAUCAAGUUUGUCUUGCUUACGUAUAAAUUAUAACCCAACAAAGUAAUCACUAAAUGUCAAAACCAACUAGAUACCAUGUCAUCUCUACCUUAUCUUACUAAUAUUCUUUUUGCAAAAUCCAAAAUUAAUCUUGCACAAGCACAAGGACUGAGAUGUGUAUAAAUAUCUCUUAAAUUAGUAGCUAAUAUAUCACACAUAUUAUUGAGACCAACUAGCAACAUAGAAAGCACAAUAGUGUACCAACAAUGGCAGCUAAAAUAUUUUGCCUCCUUAUGCUCCUUGGUCUUUCUGCAAGUGCUGCUACGGCGACCAUUUUCCCACAAUGCUCACAAGCUCCUAUAGCUUCCCUUCUUCCCCCGUACCUCUCACCAACGGUGUCUUCGGUAUGUGAAAACCCAAUUCUUCAACCCUACAGGAUCCAACAGGCAAUCGCAGCUGGCAUCUUACCUUUAUCACCCUUGUUCCUCCAACAAUCAUCAGCCCUAUUACAGCAGUUACCUUUGGUGCAUUUAUUGGCACAAAACAUCAGGGCACAACAACUACAACAACUUGUGCUAGCAAACCUUGCUGCCUACUCUCAGCAACAGCAGUUUCUUCCAUUCAACCAACUAGCUGCAUUGAACUCUGCUUCUUAUUUGCAACAACAACAACUACCAUUCAGCCAGCUAUCUGCUGCCUACCCCCAGCAAUUUCUUCCAUUCAACCAACUGACAGCAUUGAACUCUCCUGCUUAUUUACAGCAGCAACAACUACUACCAUUCAGCCAGCUAGCUGGUGUGAGCCCUGCUACCUUCUUGACACAACCACAGUUGUUGCCGUUCUACCAGCACGCUGCGCCUAACGCUGGCACCCUCUUACAACUGCAACAAUUGCUGCCAUUCAACCAACUUGCUUUGACAAACCCAGCAGCAUUCUACCAACAACCCAUCAUUGGUGGUGCCCUCUUUUAGAUUUCUUAUGAGUUAUAGUUCAAUAAUAAAGUUUUUUGUCUGAUGUUUGUGGCUUCCCAGAAAUAAGAAAGUACAUUUCUAGAUUCUUAUGUGCUUCUAGUCUCCAAAUGUGGUUGAUAGUUAUUUUGCUCUAAGAUCAACAGUAAUGAAGUAUAAAUCAUCGUUGUGGUGUGCUACUCGGUUAAUUGAGCAUUAACACACACAAACAUGACGAGGAUGGUAUAAUCUCCAAAAAUGUGUACUUUGUUAGGUGGGACCCUAUAGCCUUGAUUAAUGUGCUAUGUUAGGCAUGCCUGGAAACGUGUGACGCAUAUGUUUUGUGAACCUGUUGAUAUUAUAUGUGCUUUUAUAUUACCAUAUUUUAUUAAAAUACUAAUAUUUAUUACUAGUAAGAUAUAACAUUCUAUCUAGCUUAAAAACUAACCAUAAAUAUUCCAUAAUAACUAGAUUUACCAAACUAAUAUACUAAAUAUACAUAAUAAAUACAAAAUUAACAAGACAAUAAUCAAUAUUUAUGAGCUUAAUAUAUUUAGACAUUAUGGUUGGUCGACGAUAAUCAUGCUAACUUUUCGUAAUUGCUUGAUUGUAAAUAUGCUUAGAAUAAUGCCUCUUUGUUCUACAUGGCAAAUAGGGACCAUUAUGGUGUAACACCCUGGGAACCACAAACACCCCGAAAUGCUACUAAACUACACAACUAACCUUCAUAUAUAAAAUUUCGACAGCAUCUCCUUUGAAAAUUUGCAUAGACGUGGAAGCAACAGAGUAUAAACAGAUAUCAUGAUAAGAAAACAUACUAGACAUUAAUAAUCUGCUAGAAAUGGGAAGAUAACCAUAACGACAUAAACUGAAUUAACUAGUGUGCACAACUUGUUAAAAACAAACAUCGUUGACAAGAAGUUUCUAAUUAAAUCAUGGUUGUGCCUGGGCAGCGUUAUUAUGAGAGUGAAGGUGGACGUGAUGCUACUUCCCUCAUUCCCAACAUGAAUCAAGUACCUGCAUUGAGCAAUGCAAGAGUGAGAUGAAAACAUCUCAGCAAGUAAAUUGUUUUGACGAGAUAUUUAAACCAAAAAAAUUUGAUUUACUCAACAUUUUAAAGGGAUCACAAUUGAGAUCAGAAAUACUUGUAGAUAUAGAACUCAAUAGUCCCAAAAUAACCAGUGCCAUCUCAUUUCCUCAAACAACCACAAUAGGUUGUAUAACACUUCCCUGCGUCAUCAAUACCUGCAAAUAUCACUUCAAUGUAUGCAUAGGAAUGCAAUGUUUAAGUCCUCUGCAUUCAUACUUCUUAGAGUAUAAAACCACACCAUCUGCAAAUAUCACUUCAAUGAAUGCAUAUGAAUGCAAUGCAUAUGUCCUCUGCCUUCAUACCUCUAAGGGUAUGAAGCCGAAUCGUACCCCUCCUCGGGCAACGUACGAUGCUAAGUUGUACCGGUACGGUCGGACCAUAGGUCACGACAAAACUUCAUAUGCAAGUGAAUCAUGACAUGUAUAUGGCUUGCUGCAUUUAUCAAUAUACUUCACUUCCUUCAUAUACAAUACAAACCUCAAAUAAUACUUCGUUUACCUUCAGAUACAAUACAAACCUCAAAUAAUACUUCAUUCACCUUCAGGGGUGUUUAUUAAUCUCGUGGGUCAUACUCGAAUCAUCAUCAUCAUCAAUGAUGAUUAAGCAUCAGUAUAAUACAAUCAAGUAAAGCAUCACCAUAGAGUUCAAUUAUGAAAGAAUUCGAUGAUUCUGAAUAUUAGAGUGUAUGCGAUGAAACAACAACGUCAAAACGGUAGCAACCACCGCUACAUUCAUUUGCCUUCAUCGAAGAAGAAAAAUGUACUAGGCAUGAUUCAGAGUGUAGACACCUGCUGUGGGGCUUAAAACUUAGUACAAAUAUUCCACAAACAUUUGCCAACAAUUAACAAAUCGCUCCUACACUUGAAACCAAGACCCGGUGGAAUGACUCCCACCCUGAACCACAUGCCAAACAAUAGUAGUGCUGUUUGUUAAUUUUGUAUCUUUAAAAUUAUAACAGUGGUGAUAUCAAACAAAUACUCUAGAAGUUUCUACACAAAAUACUCUACAACUUCGGUAUUCAAUGGAUAAUUAAAUUUUGCCAUCUAUAAGUUCUAAAACAUCUGAUAAGAUAACUGACUGAAUUUGUUUCAGACAGCAGCAUAGUUAACUUCAAAAUUCGAUAUCUCCCAAACUCCUCAACCAAAAAUUAUGAAAUUAUGCUGACAGUAAGAACUUUUUGUCCCUCUACAAAAGUAUCUAUAGUUGGAAGAGCCAAUUCGGCCAUUUACUAGAUGAAACCUACCAGUUAACAGACCCGCUCAUUUUUGUCAGGCAAACAAGAACCCUUAUAUAUCAAAGAGUAGUGGAUUUGAAUUUGUCUAAUAUGAAGUUUAUGGGCUUGGAUCAUUUAAAGUAUUUUAUAAUUCUGAAAGACAAGAUUAAACUAACUAUGUAUGAUCCUUUAGCACCGUACAGAUGGUCGAUGGGACAGUUACAUGGUUUAUAUAGAUGGACCUAUCUAUAUUCCUUCAGUGGUUGAGAAAAAGGUAAAGGUGUGUCACACUCACGUGUGCGCCGCCUCUGCCGAGAUGAGGCAUGGCGUUGCAAGGUGAGGCAUGGCAUGGUGCAGCACGAUCGCAGUCAUGGUCGUGGCACAGUGUAGCACUGUUGUGGAUAGAUAGAUAAACUAUUGUUGUAGUUAGAGUGCAUGAGUUUUUGAAUGCAACACUAGGAUUUUCACAAUUUAACUUAAUUAAGAAGUUAUAUCUUGAUGACACAGAGUUACCUGACCAUUGAUCUCACAUGCCCUUUUAGCUCUCUUGUUCUCUAGACUCACCCUGACUAUUGAGGUCUCUUGACUCGCCAAUAUAAACACCAUCCUAUCAUUUGCUCUCGAAUACUUUUGUGUCACAACUCAACUGUCAGAUGAGUACUCCAUUACAGCACUGAGCAGGCCUCCGAAAUGAAUAUCUACUCAGAUGAAGGACGACAAUCGUGUUCUAGGGAAAUAUCAGUGACACAACUCCUUACUUCCUCUGCUUCUUCCUAGUGUUUUUUGUUGUGAUUGAGUCGACACAGCAACAACACUGCACUAUUACAACCAGUACGACUAUAUUAACUAGCAAUGUCUUCCUUAUAUGUUACUAUUUAUUUUGCUCAUAUUCAUUAUGUUUAAAUCACAUAGGCACCUUUUUGUUGGCAUCAAAAAAUUAGUAUCAACUUUCUAGAUUAAAGUGAAACUAAAAGUACCUAAAUUUCUAUCGGUGGGGAUCGAGUGAUUCUUUAAACCGAUUAUUACACAAGUGAACCACACUAAAAUUAACAUUGGUGAAUCGUGCCAUGAUUUUUUCUAGUGGAAAAUAGCCAAACCAAGCAACACAUAUGUGGCUAUCGUUACACAUGUGUAAAGGUAUUGCAUCACACCAUUGUCACCCAUGUAUUUGGACAAUACCGAGAGGAAAAACCACUUAUUUAUUGUAUUUUAUCAAGUUUGUCUUGCUUACGUAUAAAUUAUAACCCAACAAAGUAAUCACUAAAUGUCAAAACCAACUAGAUACCAUGUCAUCUCUACCUUAUCUUACUAAUAUUCUUUUUGCAAAAUCCAAAAUUAAUCUUGCACAAGCACAAGGACUGAGAUGUGUAUAAAUAUCUCUUAAAUUAGUAGCUAAUAUAUCACACAUAUUAUUGAGACCAACUAGCAACAUAGAAAGCACAAUAGUGUACCAACAAUGGCAGCCAAAAUAUUUUGCCUCCUUAUGCUCCUUGGUCUUUCUGCAAGUGCUGCUACGGCGACCAUUUUCCCACAAUGCUCACAAGCUCCUAUAGCUUCCCUUCUUCCCCCGUACCUCUCACCAGCGGUGUCUUCGGUAUGUGAAAACCCAAUUCUUCAACCCUAUAGGAUCCAACAGGCAAUCGCAGCUGGCAUCUUACCUUUAUCACCCUUGUUCCUCCAACAAUCAUCAGCCCUAUUACAGCAGUUACCUUUGGUGCAUUUAUUGGCACAAAACAUCAGGGCACAACAACUACAACAACUUGUGCUAGCAAACCUUGCUGCCUACUCUCAGCAACAACAGUUUCUUCCAUUCAACCAACUAGCUGCAUUGAACUCUGCUUCUUAUUUGCAACAACAACAACUACCAUUCAGCCAGCUAUCUGCUGCCUACCCCCAGCAAUUUCUUCCAUUCAACCAACUGACAGCUUUGAACUCUCCUGCUUAUUUACAGCAGCAACAACUACUACCAUUCAGCCAGCUAGCUGGUGUGAGCCCUGCUACCUUCUUGACACAACCACAAUUGUUGCCGUUCUACCAGCACGCUGCGCCUAACGCUGGCACCCUCUUACAACUGCAACAAUUGCUGCCAUUCAACCAACUUGCUUUGACAAACCCAACAGCAUUCUACCAACAACCCAUCAUUGGUGGUGCCCUCUUUUAGAUUUCUUAUGAGUUAUAGUUCAAUAAUAAAGUUUUUUGUCUGAUGUUUGUGGCUUCCCAGAAAUAAGAAAGUACAUUUCUAGAUUCUUAUGUGCUUCUAGUCUCCAAAUGUGGUUGAUAGUUAUUUUGCUCUAAGAUUAGCAGUAAUGAAGUAUAAAUCAUCGUUGUGGUGUGCUACUCGGUUAAUUGAGCAUUAACACACACAAACAUGACGAGGAUGGUAUAAUCUCCAAAAAUGUGUACUUUGUUAGGUGGGACCCUAUAGCCUUGCAGAAUGUGCUACGUUAGGCAUGCCAAUGGAAACGUGUGACACAUACGUUUUGUGAAUCUGUUGAUAUUAUAUGUGCUUUUAUAUUACCAUAUUUUAUUAAAAUACUAAUAUUUAUUACUAGUAAGAUAUAACAUUCUAUCUAGCUUAAAAACUAACCAUAAAUAUUCCAUAAUAACUAGAUUUACCAAACUAAUAUACUAAAUAUACAUAAUAAAUAUAAAAUUAACAAGACAAUAAUUAAUAUUUAUGAGCUUAAUUUAUUUAGACAUUAUGGUUGGUCGACGAUAAUCAUGCUAACUUUCCGUAAUUGCUUGAUUGUAAAUAUGCUUAGAAUAAUGCCUCUUUGUUCUACAUGGCAAAUAGGGACCAUUAUGGUGUAACACCCCGGGAUCCACAAACACCCCGAAAUGCUACUAAACUACACAACUAACCUUCAUAUAUAAAAUUUCGACAGCAUCUCCUUUGAAAAUUUGCAUAAACGUGGAAGCAACAGAGUAUAAACAGAUAUCAUGAUAAGGAAACAUACUAGACAUUAAUAAUCUGCUAGAAAUGGGAAGAUAACCAUAACGACAUAAACUGAAUUAACUAGUGUGCACAACUUGUUAAAAACAAACAUCGUUGACAAGAAGUUUCUAAUUAAAUCAUGGUUGUGCCUGGGCAGCGUUAUUAUGAGAGUGAAGGUGGACGUGAUGCUACUUCCCUCAUUCCCAACAUGAAUCAAGUACCUGCAUUGAGUAAUGCAAGAGUGAGAUGAAAACAUCUCAGCAAGUAAAUUGUUUUGACGAGAUAUUUAAACCAAAAAAAUUGAUUUAAUCAACAUUUUAAAGGGAUCACAAUUGAGAUCAGAAAUACUUGUAGAUAUAGAACUCAAUAGUCCCAAAAUAACCAAUGCCAUCUCAUUUCCUCAAACAACCACAAUAGGUUGUAUAACACUUCCCUGCGUCAUCAAUACCUGCAAAUAUCACUUCAAUGUAUGCAUAGGAAUGCAAUGUUUAAGUCCUCUGCAUUCAUACUUCUUAGAGUAUAAAACCACACCAUCUGCAAAUAUCACUUCAAUGAAUGCAUAUGAAUGCAAUGCAUAUGUCCUCUGCCUUCAUACCUCUAAGGGUAUGAAGCCGCAUCGUACCCCUCCUCGGGCAACGUACGAUGCUAAGUUGUACCGGUACGGUCGGACCAUAGGUCACGACAAAACUUCAGAUGCAAGUGAAUCAUGACAUGUAUAUGGCAUGCUGCAUUUAUCAAUAUACUUCACUUCCUUCAUAUACAAUACAAACCUAAAAUAAUACUUCGUUUACCUUCAGAUACAAUACAAACCUCAAAUAAUACUUCAUUCACCUUCAGGGGUGUUUAUUAAUCUCGUGGGUCAUACUCAAAUCAUCAUCAUCAUCAAUGAUGUUUAAGCAUCAGUAUAAUACAAUCAAGUAAAGCAUCACCAUAGAGUUCAAUUAUGAAAGAAUUCGAUGAUUCUGAAUAUUAGAGUGUAUGCGAUGAAACAACAAAGUCAAAACGGUAGCAACCACCUCUACAUUCACUUGCCUUCAUCGAAGAAGAAAAAGGUACUAGGCAUGAUUCGGAGUGUAGACACCUGCUGUGGGGCUUAAAACUUAGUACAAAUAUUCCAUAAACAUUUGCCAACAAUUAACAAAUCGCUCCUACACUUGAAACCAAGACCCGGUGGAAUGACUCCCACCCUGAACCACAUGCCAAACAACAAUAGUGUUGUUUGUUAAUUUCUAUCUUUAAAAUUAUAACAGUGGUGAUAUCAAACAAAUACUCUAUACGUUUCUACACAAAAUACUCUACAACUUCGGUAUUCAAUGGAUAAUUAAAUUUUGCCAUCUAUAAGUUCUAAAACAUCUGACAAGAUAACUGACUGAAUCUGUUUCAGACAACAGCAUAGUUAACUUCAAAAUUCGAUAUCUCCCUAACUCCUCAACAAAAAAUUAUGAAAUUAUGCUGACAGUAAGAACUUUUAUCCCUCUACAAAAGUCUCCAUAGUUGAAAGAGCCAAUUCGGCCAUUUACUAGAUGAAACCUACCAGUUAACGGACCCGCUCAUUUUUGUCAAGCAAACAAGAACCCUUAUAUAUCAAAGAGUAGUGGAUUUGAAUUUGUCUAAUAUGAAGUUUACGGGCUUGGCUCAUUUAAAGUAUUUAAUAAUUCUGAAAGACAAGAUUAAACUAACUAUGUAUGAUCCUUUAGCACCGUACAGAUGGUCGAUGGGACAGUUACAUGGUUUAUAUAGAUGGACCUAUCUAUAUUCCUUCAGUGGUUGAGAAAAAAGUAAAGGUGUGUCACACUCACGUGUGCGCCGCCUCCGCCGAGACGAGGCAUGGCGUUGCAAGGUGAGGCAUGGCAUGGUGUAGCACGAUAGCAGUCAUGGUCGUGGCACAGUGUAGCACUGUUGUGGAUAGAUAGGUAAACUAUUGUUGUAGUUAGAGUGCAUGAGUUUUUGAAUGCAACACUAGAAUUUUCACAAUUUAACUUAAUUAAGAAGUUAUAUCUUGAUGACACAGAGUUACCUGACCAUUGAUCUCACAUGCCCUUUUAGCUCUCUCGUUCUCUAGACUCACCCUGACUAUUUAAGUCUCUUGACUCGCCAAUAUAAACACCAUCCUAUCAUUUGCUCUAGAAUACUUCUGUGUCACAACUCAACUGUCAGAUGAGUACUCCAUUACAGCACUUACGUACACGAGUUCUAUGAGAGCAGGCCUCCAAAAUGAAUAUCUACUUAGAUGAAGGACGACAAUCGUGUUCUAGGGAAAUAUCAGCGACACAACUCCUUACUUCCUUCGCUUCUUCCUAGUGUUUUUUGUUGUGAUUGAGUCGACACAGCAACAACACUGCACUAUUACAACCAGUACGACUAUAUCAACUAGCAAUGUCUUCCUUAUAUGUUACUAUUUAUUUUGCACAUAUUCAUUAUGUUUAAAUCACAUAGGCACCUUUCUAUUGGCAUCAAAAAAUUAGUAUCAACUUUCUAGAUUAAAAUGAAACUAAAAGUACAUAAAUUUCUAUCGGUGGGGAUCGAGUGAUUCUUUAAACCGAUUAUUACACAAGUUAACCACACUAAAAUUAACAUUGGUGAAUCGUGCCAUGAUUUUUUUUCUAGUGGAAAAUAGCCAAACCAAGCAACACAUAUGUGGCUAUCGUUACACAUGUGUAAAGGUAUUGCAUCACACUAUUGUCACCCAUGUAUUUGGACAAUACCGAGAGGAAAAACCACUUAUUUAUUGUAUUUUAUCAAGUUUGUCUUGCUUACGUAUAAAAUUAUAACCCAACAAAGUAAUCACUAAACGUCAAAACCAACUAGAUAUCAUGUCAUCUCUACCUUAUCUUACUAAUAUUCUUUUUGCAAAAUCCAAAAUUAAUCUUGCACAAGCACAAGGACUGAGAUGUGUAUAAAUAUCUCUUAAAUUAGUAGCUAAUAUAUCGCACAUAUUAUUUAGACCAACUAGCAACAUAGAAAGCACAAUAGUGUACCAACAAUGGCAGCCAAAAUAUUUUGCCUCCUUAUGCUCCUUGGUAUUUCUGCAAGUGCUGCUACGGCGACCAUUUUCCCGCAAUGCUCACAAGCUCCUAUAGCUUCCCUUCUUCCCCCGUACCUCUCACCAGCGGUGUCUUCGGUAUGUGAAAACCCAAUUCUUCAACCCUACAGGAUCCAACAGGCAAUCGCAGCUGGCAUCUUACCUUUAUCACCCUUGUUCCUCCAACAAUCAUCAGCCCUAUUACAGCAGUUACCUUUGGUGCAUUUAUUGGCACAAAACAUCAGGGCACAACAACUACAACAACUUGUGCUAGCAAACCUUGCUGCCUACUCUCAGCAACAGCAGUUUCUUCCAUUCAACCAACUAGCUGCAUUGAACUCUGCUUCUUAUUUGCAACAACAACAACUACCAUUCAGCCAGCUACCUGUUGCCUACCCCCAGCAAUUUCUUCCAUUCAACCAACUGGCAGCAUUGAACUCUCCUGCUUAUUUACAGCAGCAACAACUACUACCAUUCAGCCAGCUAGCUGGUGUGAGCCCUGCUACCUUCUUGACACAACCACAGUUGUUGCCGUUCUACCAGCACGCUGCGCCUAACGCUGGCACCCUCUUACAACUGCAACAAUUGCUGCCAUUCAACCAACUUGCUUUGACAAACCUAGCAGUGUUCUACCAACAACCCAUCAUUGGUGGUGCCCUCUUUUAGAUUUCUUAUGAGUUAUAGUUCAAUAAUAAAGUUUUUUGUCUGAUGUUUGUGGCUUCCCAGAAAUAAGAAAGUACAUUUCUAGAUUCUUAUGUGCUUCUAGUCUCCAAAUGUGGUUGAUAGUUAUUUUGCUCUAAGAUCAGCAGUACAACAACAACAACAACAACAACAACAACAACAACAAAGCCUUUUUGUCCCAAGCACGUUGGGGUAGGCUAGAGAUGAAACCCCGUAUGAAAACCUCAGAGCUCAACCCCCAAAGAACAGAAAAGGGAAACAAAGGCAAAGGAGAACCGAAAACAACGAAACGGGGAAACACAUAAAAGAGAUAAAACCCACAAGGACCAGCAAGAUCUAAAAUGGACACAAGAAAAGGUCAAACGAUUAAGGAGGAAAAGCGAAACUAUCAAUCAGGGUUCUGGCACGUGAAUUGCACACUUCCACCCCUUCCUAUCUGCGGCGAGCUCUUUGUCAAUAUUCCACUCCUUCAGGUCUCUCUUCACAGCCUCUGUCCACGUCAAAGUUGGUCGACCUCUACCUCUCUUCACAUUUUCGGGACGCCUAAUUAUUCCGAUAUGCACUGGUGCCUCUUCAGGUCUUCGUUGGAUAUGUCCAAACCAUCUCAAGCGAUGUUGCAUAAGCUUCUCCUCAAUUGGCGCCACUCCUACUCUCUCUCGUAUAUCAUCAUUCCGGACUCGAUCUCUCCUUGUGUGGCCACAUAUCCAGCGCAACAUACGCAUCUCUGCCACACUUAGUUGUUGGACAUGUCGUCUUUUAGUGGGCCAACAUUCUGCUCCAUACAACAUAGCCGGCCGGAUUGCUGUCCUGUAGAAUUUGCCUUUUAGUUUGCGUGGCACCCGGUGGUCGCAUAAGACACCCGCAGCUUGUCGCCACUUCAACCAUCCGGCUUUAAUUCUAUGACUGACAUCCUCAUCGAUGUCUCCCUCCUUUUGAAGCAUUGAUCCUAAGUAACGAAAAGUGUCUUUCUUGGGUACCACUUGCCCAUCAAGACUAACAUCGCCAUCCUCAUACCCCAUGGCACUGAAAUCACACUUCAUAUACUCUGUUUUAGACCUACUAAGCCUAAAACCUUUUGCUUCCAGCGUCUGCCUCCACAAUUCCAACUUUUGAGAAACACCACUCCUACUCUCCUCAAUAAGUACCACAUCAUCGGCAAAAAGCAUACACCACGGUAAAACUCCUUGUAUGUCCCUUGUGACCUCAUCUAUCACCAAAGCGAAAAGAUAAGGGCUCAAAGCCGACCCUUGAUGUAGUCCUAUGUUAAUUGGAAAGUCAUCGGUGUCUCCAUCACUUGUUCGGACACUUGUCACAACAUUAGUGUACAUAUCUUUAAUAAGAUUAAUGUACUUUGUUGCUACUUUGUGUUUUUCCAAGGCCCACCACAUUACACUCCUAGGUACUUUGUCAUAAGCCUUCUCCAAGUCUAUGAAGACCAUAUGCAGGUCUUUCUUUUGUUCUCUGAAUCUCUCCAUAAGUUGUCUUAGUAAGAAAAUGGCCUCCAUAGUUGAUCUCCCGGGCAUGAAACCAAACUGAUUUUGGGUCACGCUCGUCAUCUUUCGCAGGCGGUGUUCAAUGACUCUCUCCCAUAGCUUCAUUGUAUGGCUCAUGAGCUUAAUUCCACGGUAAUUAGUACAACUUUGAACAUCUCCUUUGUUCUUGAAGAUUGGUACUAAUGUACUCCGCCGCCACUCGUCGGGCAUUCUGUUUGCCCGAAAGAUGGUGUUGAAAAGCUUAGUCAGCCAUACUAUCGCUAUGUCUCCAAGACAUCUCCAUACCUCGAUAGGGAUACCAUCAGGGCCCAUCGCCUUUCCUACCUUCAUCCUUUUUAGCGCCUCCUUAACUUCAUAUUCUUGUAUCCUUCGUACAAAACCCCUGUUGUUGUCAUCGAAUGGUUCGUCCAAUUCUAUUGUAGCACUCUCAUUCCCUCCAUUGAACAAUUUGUUGAAGUACUCCUUCCAUCUGUUCUUGAUCUCUUCACUCUUCACUAAUAGUUGGUUUGCUUCGUCCUUGAUGCAUUUGACUUGGUUGACAUCCCUUGUCUUCCUUUCACGAAUCUUGGCCAUCCUAUAGAUAUCCUUUUCUCCCUGCUUUGUGUCCAGCCGUUGAUAAAGGUCGUCAUAGGCUUGACCCCGGGCUCUACUAACCGCUCGCUUUGCAGACUUCUUCGCUAUCCUGUACUUCUCUAUGUUUUCUGCACACUUGUCAUGAUGUAAGCGUUUGUAGCAAUCUUUCUUCUCCUUGAUAGCCUUUUGGACAUCUUCGUUCCACCACCAAGUGUCUUUAACUUCCCUUCUGUUCCCUUGACUCAACCCAAACUCUUCUGAAGCUAUCUUUCGGAUGCAUGUCGCCAUCUUCCUCCACAUGAUAUUUGCGUCUUCCUCUCCUGCCCAAGGGCCCUCCUCGAUAACUCUCUUCUUGAAAGUUUGGGCCACAUCCCCUUUAAGCUUCCACCACUUUGUUCUAGUGACCUUGUUAUGCUUAUUUCGUUGUAAACGAAUCUUAAAACGGAAGUCAGCAACGACAAGCUUAUGUUGGGUUACCACACACUCUCCAGGUAUAACCUUGCAAUCUAAGCAGGCAUGCCUGUCCUCUUUUCUCAAGAGGACGAAAUCAAUCUGGCUAGUGUGUUGGCCACUACUGAAGGUCACCAGGUGGGAUUGCCUCUUCUUAAAGAAAGUGUUUGCUAUAAACAUGUCAUAGGCUAGGGCAAAGUUCAGGAUUUCCUCUCCUUCUUGAUUCCUAGUCCCAAAGCCGAAGCCUCCAUGUACACCCUCGAAACUGGUGCUAGAUGUACCCACAUGGCCAUUGAGAUCUCCUCCUAUGAAGAGCUUCUCGCCAACUGGCACACUACUAACCAUGUCCUCUAGGCCUUCCCAGAACUCUCUCUUUGAGUUCUCAUUAAGGCCUACUUGAGGAGCAUACGCGCUGAUAACAUUGAGAACCAAGUCUCCAAUGACCAGCUUGACUAGGAUGAUUCUAUCUCCUACCCUCUUAACAUCUACUACCCCAUCUUUGAGGCUCUUGUCGAUCAAGACGCCUACUCCAUUCUUGUUUGUUGCAGUCCCCGUGUACCACAACUUGAAACCUGUACCUUUCACUUCCUUCGCCUUCUGUCCCUUCCACUUGGUCUCUUGAACGCAUAAAAUAUUUACCCGUCUCCUCACCGCAACGUCAACUAUUUCUCGUAACUUACCUGUUAAGGAACCUACGUUCCAACUGCCUACACGGACCCUAGUUGGCUCGACUAGCUUCCUUACCCUUCGCACCCGCCGAGGAAGAUGCAAAGACCCUUGCUCAUUUUUCACUACACCCGGGCGCCGAUGUAGCGCGCCACUAAGGAUGCGACGACCCGAUCCUUGCUCACUUAUCACCGGCUCCAGAUCAAGAGACAGCGCGUCACUUGAGGGGUGACGACCCGGCCCUUGCUCAUUUAACACCAUACCCGGGUUCCGAUAUGGCGCGUCGCUAAGAGGGUUACGCCCCAACGGUUUUCUUUGUGGUUUCAUCUCCAUAAGAUUUGGCUGGUUUUUUACGUUGGUUUGCCGGACCUAACACAACCCUCCUCCUUUACCGGGCUUGGGACCGGCUAUGUUGAAACGACUCAAGGAAGUCUUCCAAUCAACAUAGGCGGAGUUUAAGAUCAGCAGUAAUGAAGUAUAAAUCAUCGUUGUGGUGUGCUACUCGGUUAAUUGAGCAUUAACACACACAAACAUGACGAGGAUGGUAUAAUCUCCCAAAAUGUGUACUUUGUUAGGUGGGACCCUAUAGCCUUGCAGAAUGUGCUACGUUAGGCAUGCCGAUGGAAACGUGUGACGCAUACGUUUUGUGAACCUGUUGAUAUUAUAUGUGCUUUUAUAUUACCAUAUUUUAUUAAAACACUAAUAUUUAUUACUAGUAAGAUAUAACAUUCUAUCUAGCUUAAAAACUAACCAUAAAUAUUCCAUAAUAACUAGAUUUACCAAACUAAUAUACUAAAUAUACAUAAUAAAUACAAAAUUAACAAGACAAUAAUCAAUAUUUAUGAGCUUAAUAUAUUUAGACAUUAUGGUUGGUCGACGAUAAUCAUGCUAACUUUCCGUAAUUGCUUGAUUGUAAAUAUGCUUAGACUAAUGCCUCUUUGUUCUACAUGGCAAAUAGGGACCACUCUAGGAGACUAGGAUGUUGCUUGAGAUGAAAAUGUCAGAAUUGGUGUAGACUAAUUUCUAUCGGCCGCUGACUUCACUAUUGUAACCAUUAUAUCUUGGGUAAAUUAUAUACGAUUAUCCAGCCAAAGGGCCCAGAUGAUAAAAAACAAUUUUUAAUUGCUAUUUUAGGACAAAUGAAUUAGCAUGGUUCGAAGGAUUACGACCUUCCCCCCAUGACCUUUGUCAUACUGCUUUAGUCUAAUCGACAAAACCAAGAUUAGUUAUCAUCGAAGAAGUUCAUAAGCGAAGUUGUGACGAUGAAAGGAACAUGGUGGUAAUUGGACGAACGACGACACCUUUGUCUAAGAAUGGCAUCUAGAAGAAAUCUCAGACAAAAUAAGACAUGAAUGGCUUGUCAGUACAGCGCAAAUACUGAAACAUGCGCCCUUGAAUAUGAAACAUUUAUAUGUAAGAGGAAGGGAUAAAAAAACUAAUUACUCGUGCCUAAUGAUUUUAUUGGGAAUUUUAAGGCGAGACUUAUGGCAAAGGGUUAUACCAAAAAUAGGGGAGAGAUUAUUUCGAUACUUAUUCACUUGUUUCCCUUCAAAUGGCCAUACAUGUGUUACUUUUUUUGGCUGCCUCGCAUGGUCUUAUCGUUCAUCAGAUGAAUGUUAAGACUGCUUUCCCAAAUGGAGAGCUUAAGGAACAGAUCUACAUUGACUAGCCUAGUGGUUUUAUAUCAAAUGGUAAAGAGGAAAAGGUGUUUAAAAUAAUUGUUUGGUUUAAAACAAGCACCAAAGCACAUGAGAAAAUCGAUAAAGUUCUGACUUUGGCUAAAUUUGUUGUAAAUGAAGUUGAUAAAUGUGUCCAUUACCAGUUUGACAGGGGCGAAGGUAUGACCUUUUUAUAUGUGGACAAAAUAUUAACCUUUUGUAACGAUGUUAAUAUGAUAGAAGAAGUAAAGUAAUUUUUGUCUAGUAACUUAGAAAUAAACAAUCUGGGAGAGGCUAAUGUUGUUCUUAACAAAGAGAUGUUGAGAGAAGGAGGAAAUAGAGGGUUACUCUUGUGCAAUCCUAUUAGGUUGAAAAGUCGCUGAGUCGCUUUGGAUAUAGUGAUUACACGUCUGGUCCAACAACUUAUGACCCAAGUGUGUUAUUAAGGAAAAAUCAUAUAAUUGCAUAUGAUCAAUUGAGAUAUUGUCAAAUCAUGGUCUUCUCAUAUAUUUGGCAAGCCCAACGAUGUCUCAUAUCUGAUUUGUUAUGAGCAAACUCAGUUGCCUUGUCUCCAAUCUAGGGGAGGAUCAUGACAUGCCCUAGAGAGGGUAUUGCGCUUUCUCAAAGGGAUAUGAGUAAUGUCAUUUACUAUACUAGGCACCUAAGAGUACCAGAGUGUUAUAGUCAUGCAAAUAGGAUAUCUGAUGUUGAUUAGAUUUAUGCCACAAGUAGACUUGUGUGCUUCCUUGGAGGUGUGAUUGUUUCAUGGAAGUCUUGUAAGUAGACCAUCUUAACAAGGUCAACAAUAGAAGUAGAACUCACAACAUUAUAUACUACCAAAGUUGAAGUUGAUUGGCUCCGUGAACUCCUUACGGAUUUACCAGUAGUUGAAAAACCAAUACUGGUUAUCUCUAUGAGCUACAAUAAUCAAACAUUUGUAAUCGAAGUAAACAGUUCUAAAGUUAACAUGAUGUCUACAAAGCAUGUAAAAAUGGUUGAAACUGUUAAAACACUAAGAAACUCUAGAUUAAUUAUGUUGGACUAUAUCCAUACAUCGAAUUUGGUAUGCCAGUUUACAGAAGAUUUGUCACAUAAUAUGAUUCAAGGUGCAUCGAGGAAUAUGGGCUUGAGACCCACUUAAUGUCAAUCCAUAGUGGUAGCAGUUUCUAUGUGAUUGGAGAUCCCAUAAAGUAGAAUGGUGAAACAAGCUAGAGAAUGACUGAUGGAGAGACUCCUUAAAUAAAAUCUUGAUAAUUUGAGAUGCACAUUUCUCAUUUGAUGUAUUGUAGGCGAACUAAAAUCUUAAUAUGAUUUGAGUGACUUAUCUAAGCAGGGAUGUUAUCUUACAGAACAUCCUAGAAAGAACACACCUAUAUGAGUUUGCAUGUUAGUCAUAGUCUAUCAUGUGUGGUAAUCUUUAUAUACUCAUGAAAGGCUUGAAGUUUGACUUAUAUGCUUCAAACCAAGGGGGUGCUUGUAACAGUCUAGUACAAGAUAAGAACAUUGGUAAAACUCACUUAACGCAAAAUUGUCAAUUUAAGGCAUAGUUCAUUGUUUAGAUGUGAAUGUGUAAUCCCUGUUCUAGAUGGAUGGUCAACUUAACAGCCUCCACCAAAACCCUGAUAUCUCAAAGAGUAGUGGAUUUGAGUUUGUCUAAUAUGUGGUUUAGAUUUUGGUGGGGAAUUUUAAUAUUUUAUGGGCUUGGCCCAUUUAAGGUAUUUAAUACUUUCAAAAGACAAGAUUAAACAUGUGUGAAUAGUGUCAUGAUUUUUUUCUAGUGCAAAAUAGCCCAACAAAUCAACACAUAUGUGGCUAUCAUUACACAUGUGUAAAGGUAAUGCAUCACACCAUUGUCACCCAUGUAUUUAGAAAAUACCAAGAAGAAAAACAACUUGUUUAUUGUAUUUUAUGGAGAUUAUCUUGCUUACAUAUAAUUAUAACCCAACAAAGUGGUCACUAAAUGUCAAAACCAACUAGGUACCAGGUCAUCUCUAGCUUAUCUUGCUAAUGAUAUUUUUGCAAAAUCCAAAAUUAAUCUUGCACAAGCACAAGGACUGAGAUGUGUAUAAAAAUCUCUUAGAUUAGUAGGUAAUCCAUCACACAAAGCGCAAUAGUGUAGCAAAACUGGCAGUCAAAAUAUUUUGCCUCCUUAUGCUCCUUGCUCUUUCUGCAAGUGCUGCUAACGCGACCAAUUUUCUGCAAUGCUCACAAGAUCCAAUUGCUUCCCUUCUUCCCUCAUACCUCUCACCAGCGACAUCUUCAGUAUGUGAAAACCCAAUUCUUCAACCCUAUAGGAUCCAACAGGCAAUCACAGCAAGCAUCUUACCUUUAUCACCCUUGUUCCUCCAACAACCGCCAGCCCUGUUACAACAAUUACCUUUGGUGCAUUUGUUGGAACAAAGCAUCAAGGCACAACAACUACAACAACCUGUGCUGACAAACCUUGUUGCCUACUCUCAGCAACAAUAGUUUCUUCCAUUCAACCAACUGGCUGCACUGAACUCUGCUGCUUAUUUGCAACAACAACAACAACUUCCAUUCACCCAGCUAGCUGCUGCCUACCCCCAACAAUUUCUUCCAUUCGACUAACUGGCUGCAUUGAACUCUGUUGCUUAUUUACAACAGCAACAACUAAUACCAUGAAACCAGCUAGCUGUUGCGAGCCCUGCUACCUUCUUGACACAACCACAGUUGAUGUCGUUCUACCUGCAAGCUGUGGCUAACGUCGGCACCCUCUUACAACUACAACAAUUGUUGCCAUUCAUCCAACUUGCUUUGACAAACCCAAUAGUGUUCUACCAACAACCCAUCAUUGGUGGCGCCCUCUUUUAUAUUUCUUAUGGGUUAUAGUUCAAUAAUGAAGUUUUUGGCUGAUGUUUGUGGCUUCCCAGAAAUAAGAAAGUAUAUUUCUAGAUUCUUAUGUGCUACUAGUCUCCAAAUGUGGUUGAUAAUUAUGUUGCUCUAAGAACGGGAGUAAUGAGGUAUAAAUCAUUGUUGAGGUGUGAUACUCGGGUAGUUGAGCAUUAGCACGCACAAAUAUGAUGAGGACGGUAUAAUCUCCAAAAAUAUGUACUUUGUUAGGUGGGACCCUAUAGCCAUGCAGAAUGUGCUCUGUUAGACACGUCGAUGGAAACGUGUCACACAUACGUUUUGUGAACCUAUUGAUAUUGUAUGUGCUUUUAGUUGUGUGGUGCUAUAGAUAUGAGGGCUUGUUUCACGUAAUGAGCUAGGGUAGAAAAAUAAUUAUUUGCCUUGGAUUGUUAUGGAAGAACAUACCAAUUGUGACUGCCAUCUCAAUCUAGCUAACAUCUAAGUGACCUAAAAGGAGAGCAUAAGGAACUGAUCUACAAUGACUAGCCUAGUGGUUUUAUAGGAAAUGGCAAAGAGGAAAAUGUGUUUAAGUUAUUACAAUUGUAUGGUUUAAAACAAGCACCUAAGCACAUGAGAAAUUUUAUGAAGUUCUGACUUUGGCUAAAUUUGUUGUAAAUGAAGCUGAUAAAUGUGUCUAUUGCUAGUUUGAGAGGAGGGAUGGCAUGACCUGUUUUUUAUAUUUGGAUGAUAUAUUAAUCUUUUGUAAUGAUGUUAAUAUUAUCGAGGAAGUAAAAUACUCUUUGUGUGGUAACUUUGAAAUAAAUGAUUUUGGAGAGGCUAAUGUUGUUCUUAACAUAAAGAUGUUGGGAGAAGGAGGAAAUAGGGGGUAACUCUUGUGAAUCCUAUUAGGUUGAAAAGACAUUUAGUUGUUUUGGAUAUAGUAACUACACAUCUGGUCAAAUUACUUAUGACACAAGCGUGUUGUUAAGGAAAAUGAUAUAAUCGCAUAGAAUCAAAUGAGAUACUAUCAAAUCAUGGUCUUCUCGUGUAUUUGGCUAAUCCAACGAGGCCUAAUAUCUCAUUGCUAUGAUUAAACUUAGUCGAUUUGUAUACAAUGUAGGGGAUGAUCAUGGCAAGCCCUAGAGAGGGUAUUGCGCUACCUAAAAGGGACUAUGAGUAAUGUAAUUUACUAUACCAGGCACCUAAGGGUACCAGAGUGUUACAAUGAUGCAAACAAGAUAUCUGAUGGUGACGAGAUUUAUGCCACAAGUGGAUAUGUGUGCUUGCUUGGAGGUGUGAUAGUUUCAUGGAAGUCUUGUAAGUAUACCAUCUUAACAAGAUCAACAAAACAAGUAGAACUGGCAACAUAAGAUACUACCAUAGUUGAAGCUAAGUGGCUUCUUGAACUCCUUAUGGAUUUACCAGUAGUUGAAAACUAAUAGUGGUUAUCUCUAUGAUCUAUGAUAAUCAAAUAGUCGUAAUCAAAGUGAACAGUUCUAAGGAUAACAUGAAUUCUACAAAGCAUGUCAAAAAGCGAUUGAAACUAUUAGAACACUAAGAAUCUCUAGAGUAAUUGUGUUGGACUAUGUCCAUACAUCUAAGAAUUUGGUAGGUCGAUUUAGAGAAGGUUUGUCCAUAAUGUGAUAGAUGGUGCAUCGUGUAAGAUGGGCUUGAGACCCUCUUAAUGCCAUUCCUUAGUGGUAGCAUGUUCUAUGUGAUUGGAGAUCUCGUGAAGUAGAAUGGUGAAACAAGAUAGAGAAUGACUGAUGGAGAGACUCCUUAAAUAAAAUCUAGGUAAUUUGAUAUGCAUAUUUCUCCUUUGAUGUAUCGUAGGCUAACUAAAAUCUUAAUAUGAUCGGAGUGAUUUAUCUAAGCAGGGAUGUUAUCUUAUAGAACAUCCUAGAAGGAACACACCUAUAUGAGUUUGACUGCUAUUCAUAGUCUAUGAUAUUUGGGAAAUCUUUAUAUACACCUGAAAGGCCUAGAAAUGUGACUUCUAUGCUUCAAACCAAGGGGAUGCUUGUAACAAUCUAGUAUCAGAUAAGAACUUUGGUGAAACUCACUUCAUGCAAAACCGUUAAUUCAAAGCAUAGUCCAUUGUUCAGAUGUGAAUGUAUAACCCAUGUUCUAGAUGGAUGGUCAACUUAAUAGCCUCCACCAAGACCAUGAUAUAUCAAAGAGUAGUGGAUUUGAGUUUGUCCAAUAUGUGGUUUAGAUUUUGGUGGGGAAUGUUAAUAUUUUAUUGGCUUGACCCAUUUAAAGUGUUUAAUAAUUUUGAAAGACAAGAUUAAACAAAC
This 76374-nucleotide long non-coding RNA is filed under the name Zea mays. RNAcentral's name for it is "long non-coding RNA (ZMAY_LNC002145)". The record is from RNAcentral. Lineage: Eukaryota; Viridiplantae; Streptophyta; Magnoliopsida; Poales; Poaceae.